CCAAUUUAGAACCUUUAUAGUAGAUUAAAAGAAAGAACAGACUCAUAUGAAAGUUCCCCAGAAAAAAUGGCUGUUGUUGAAUCAGCUGUGAAAUACGCUCUUGCUCACGAAUCUGCUGUUCUAGCUCAGACCAGGCUAUCUCCGAGAAAAUAGGGGUCCCGAACGGGAGAAGAAUAAGGCAGGCUGUCCUUUGACUAGUUUGUUGUUUUUUCUGGGGAAUUUGCUUGUCAACGAAAUUCCACUCAUAAGUAGGUUCACAUCGUGAUCUAAGUUCCAUUUCCCAUCGAGAGGUUAUGAUACUGGUAAAGAGUCCUAUCCUUCUCCUUGGGUUAUGAAAUAAUUCAAUAGCUCCGGGCUCCCUCACUGCAUUCCAAGGCAAGCUCCUACUAGAUCCUACUAUUCCUGAUAUUCCUACUGGAUUUGAGCAACUCGAGUAUGAACACUGUAUCGCUAUGCCCCUCGCUUAGCCCCGCUCUUUGGUUUAGGAUGGAUCCGGACUGGACUAAGCUUGAAGAUCUAAUUACGGACUGGAAGCGAAAAUACCGUAAAAAUGGCUUCUUUCUUCGAGGACUCUUUUGUAAUAGCUUGAUGAGCCGAACCAACAAGAGAUAUUACGUUCUACCCUCUGCUUCGAGCCCGGCCGAGAGUGAGCUUCCCGAUAGUCUCUUCCUUCCUAGAAAUAGAACUCUAACUAUCAAACCCGUCCCGUCUCCUUACUCGAGAUAUCUGAGAUAGCUCCGUAAACUAAUAACUUAUAAUAGACGAGCCCAUUAUCCUUAUGUUCCGAACUUGCUUCUUGGUACAAGGGGAGGGGCGCAGAAUUCUAGUUAUAGUUCUUCUUCUGCCUAAUCUUUAGUACCGCUUUGAGAUUGAAUCCUUAGAACCAUGUGCCUAAGAGGGCGAGGACCUUUAUAGCCAUAAUUCUUCCCCCGGUUCUACCUCCUUCUGCAAUAGUGAUCUAUCCCGUCAAUCCCACCCGCGAGCUAUCCAUUCUAACCUGUCUUUGCCUAGCAAGAUACGUCUAGUUCUCCCUCCGCUUGCCUAUCUCAGUAGGAAAUUGGAACAGUCUCCGAUUUCAAAGAAAAAGCUGAGGCGAGAGCUAUACCUUCUGGAACCGGAGCAAUAACUGCUAUAAAGUAAGGAGAUGCGCAGGAACGAUCCCUAAAAGCAAAGGCUAGGAAUGCUCCACGACUAAGUAUACCCAUUCAGACUCGCUUUUGUUCAAUUAUAAAAAAAUAAGCACUUUGAUGAAGAUUUAUAGCAUCAUUCAAGUAAAUACAGAUUAAGAUCGUAGAAACAUGAGCUUGUGAUAUAGCUACACCUAAUUCCAGACCGGUUAAUGCAAGAACUAUAAAUAAAGGACCAAGAUCCCCUAUGAAAUAGAAAAGAUCAUUCAUACAUAGCAUAGUCCAAGCGAACCCACUUAAAAUCUUUACUGAACUAUGACCGGCCAUCAUAUUAGCAAAUAAACGUAUUCCUGAGCUUAAUGCUCGAAAACAAUAAGGGAUUAGCUCAAGGAGUACUAAAAAAGGUGCUAAUGGCAGCGGGACUCCCGCGGGUAAUAAGAAGCUUAAAAAAUGAAGCCCAUUUUUUUGAAAUCCCACUAUAGUAAUGCCAAUAAAAAUCGAAAAUGAGAGACCCAAAGUAAUGAGAAAAUGACUUGUAACUGUGAAGCUAUAAGGUAUCAUACCCUGGGGAUUACAAAAUAACGAAAAAGUAAAAGUGACCGAGAUGCGAGGGGAAAACUUUUGUUUAACAUUUCCGGAAAGACCACCUAUUUGUUCGUUUACCGGGUUCAGCACGAAAUCAUAAAUAAGCUCUACCAAGGAUUGCCAAGCAUUUGGUACUGAGUUUCCUCCUCCCUUUUUAGUAACAAAAUAAACCAAAAGUAGGACCAAACUGAGAGUUAGUAGCAUAAAAAAAGAUGGAUUUGUGAAUGAGAAAUAGAAGUUUCCAAUUUUCAUAGGAAUCAAUGGCACAAUCUCAAAUUGAUCAAGUGGGCUUUCUAAGAGAUCCGCAUUCGUAUUCACUGCAUUAUUCGUAUUCACUGCAUUGGAAUAGGCUGAACCCCCUACAAUCUCGUUAAAUUGUUUUAGGGCAAAGUCAUAGUGCUCACCCUGUUUGUCUUUUAAAUGUUCUAAAAUUUCUCCGAGAAAACCCGUGUUGUCAUCAUCAUUAUGCAAAUUUUCUGUGAUUGCGAGUAAUUUGUUUUCAUCUGAACAAUGAUUUUUGAAGACUUUUUGAACGGACUCAAAGAUUUCACCCCUUAGGUGGUCUGCUAUAUUUUCAAAAGUCGUAGAAGUAGUAGGGUCCAGACCUUCAAAAAUACCAUGAUUAUUCAAAAUACUCGAAACACUCCCAUCAACCUGAGUACUGGACGACCGAAGACUAAAAUCGCCAAUAGUCGUAGUAGAUUGAUUCGUAGGAUUUAGAAUCCCAGUACUACUAGUUCCGAAUGAACUACUAGACGAAGGCGAAGCUAUAUUACUGGAACUGGAACUUGAGUUCAGACUAGCUUCAUCAAAGCGGAAAAUGCGUCGCACCAUAUUUUUUUUUUUUAAGAUGAUUCCCUCAAUACAGCUUAAGUCAAGCCUGUACGAGUAGUGAAGAAGUCUAGAGAUUUUAGUUGGUUGUUGACCAACGGAAAGCAUGGGAAAAAGAUAAAGAUUAGUUAGAUGUAGCACACACUUCAAUCCAAAGAAGCAAGACUUUUUCUUUCUAUAAGAAAUUACGUAAUCAGGGUUAAAGCACAUACAUAUAGAAAGGUGUAAAGGACAGAUGUGUCAGUUAAUAAAAGAAUGACUUACGUGCAGUACUGGUACGAAUUACUUUAUUGAAUUAGAAAGCCCCUCCUCUAAUUACGAAUGGAUUCGAUCCAUUAGAUUGACUCUUUUCUUUCUUCUUUAGAUUGCACGAGUUUUCUGUUCUGAGCCUUAGUUUGCGCCUGCCUACCUUUCGCCUUUGUCCACUAGACAAGCUUUCUUAAGGAUCCAUCCCCAUAGUUUAUUAUCAUAUAAGAUGAGUGGAACACCCGUUUAUUGAGCAUUUAAGGCCUUUUAAGGACUUGUGAGGUAUUUAAAAAUCGGAAUUUUAGGUUCGAUCCGUUAGGUUGACUCUUUUCUGUCUUUGUUAAGUAAAUAAAGACAGAAAAAAAAAGAGAUUAUUUUUUGUUUUUUCUUUGCUGUUAUUAUAGAUAAGGGUAUGCCUUUUUAUUCUUAUGGCCAUCAAUUGGCCCGCUCCCACAAAAAAAUGUUUCCUAGGCAAUUUGGCCACAUGCAAUCCAUUCCUUUUUCCUUUUCUAUCAAACCCUCACCAUGGCACUCUAGAUCACUUAAGGGGCUGGACCCACUUAUUCGAGCACGCGAUGUGUAUUACAAUGACCUUCAGUCGACUAAGAAGGUGCAUCAUAUUCGCAGCAAGCCAGCCUCUCUUGCCUACCCCUAAGUCCUGUCUGCAGUAGCUGCUUCGCUUCUAUUAUAGAUGACCGAAGAGCGGACUUCUUUCCAACAAAGAGAGGAAGUUUCGAUUCGAACAGAGAGAUAUGUCGGAAUUAGCUCUUGGGAAAGAUAGAAGGGCAGGGCUUCCAUAAUUAAACCAAUGUGGGAGCUACUUAUAAUAAGUUCCAAAACCUUGAGAUGAAGAAGGGAAAGCGUAAGUGAACUCGAUCCAGUGGAGGAGGAAGCUCGGUUCAGUCCUUGCAGAUCUUGACUCACUCACUUCCAGAGUAGAAUACGAAACUCUAGUUGAAGGGGUAUUGGCCAUUAUGAGUAGUAAAGGCUACUAUGAGCAGAAAGGGACUACUUGGCUCGAUCGAGCAGCACCUACACCUUCUCGCGUAACGACUUCUUUGAAGCUAGGCUAGGAUCGGAUCCAAUUCUAGGAGCGAUGUCAGACCAGUAGACCCAAGUUAUGCCUUUGAUCUAGUCGGUUUGAACACAUUGUUCUCUUGAAAGCUUAUUAGGAAGCUAAGUCUUUACCUUUUCUUUUCUCAAUAGGAGGUCUUGUGCCGUUGGACCUGCCCUUUAUGCAGCAGUAGUUUCGGUUGAACUGGACAUUGCUCCCGCUAUUGGUAGGCUUACUCGACUAAGAAUUCAAGGAAGUGAACUGGCGGGACUCUGCUACUUACGAGGGUUGAUGUGGAAGAAGGGGCGAAGAAUCCUCUGCUGAUGAAAGAUAUGCUGAGACAAAAGCAAAAUAGGAAGAAAUACCUGCUAGACCAGAGACUGGGGGUUCUUUUUCGCGUAAAAACCUCCGGUAAUAUAGUAUUUCCAAGCUAGGGGUAUUGUUGUUUAUGCACAAGGUUUUUCUCCUCAACCAAAGCAUGGGUCAAAAAGGAAGAACAUGACCAUCAGCAAGAAAGGGCGUCCCGACGUCGACUCCGAAAGGAAGCUCGCGAGAGGGAAAGAGAGGAAAAGAACCAAUGAUUCACCUAUAUGAAGCUGAAGAAAGCAUUAGAGUGAAGAUCCCCUGCUUAACCUGAAAUGAAACCUCUCAAGCCAGGGAAAGAUUGACCAUCGGGUUUAUUUCCGAGUCAGGACAGAAAGAGUGACUACUCGAUAGAAAUGCCCCUAUGAAUAAGGGAAGUUACUAGCCUUCUUUCUUAGGCCAAGGAAGGAAAGCACGGUAGAACUAGCGUAGCUGUGGGACUCUCGCUAGUAUUGACCUCCUGGACUAGUACCGAUGGUGGCUCCAUACGGGUAGACGUAGGCCCUGAAACCAUAACAAAGACAAGACAAUUACAGGGAGGACGUACGUGUUCUCGGGCGAGUGCGGACUCGGUUAGUAUACAAGAUCAUCAACAGAGUAAUAGGAUGCAUCUGCUGAAGCCAAGACUCAUGUAACAACAAGCUGGACCGAAGCUCAGCCAUAGUUGGUUUUGGUCGUUGAAGCUUCGCCGUAGUGACCUUUCAUAGUCCGAAGGCAGGCCAGCAAGAAGGAAUGUAAACAUAUCAGAUUGGGACACCGGUGCAUUGAUAGAUGCCAAGGAGUCACAACUGUUCUUGAAUGUACGAAGGUAAGCCGCCAUAAACGGAUUUCCUUUCUUCUCUCUUUCACUAUCAUGUUCCUCACUAACCCGAAAGAAACAUAUUUAUUCUUUUCCGGCGGCGAAUAGUCUGAUAUAGGCGAAAAGUCUCAGAAAAGAUUAGGGGAUUUAUUAAAAUAUCAUAUAUUAAGAAAAUGAAGCAGCUAUACUUGGAAUCAAUGACGAAGCUGUUGUUUUCUUAAAGCAUGGAUGCUUUGUUCCAAAUAGUGAUAGGGCAAAAACAGGGGGGGACGAGGGAAUUAGAAAAAAUGCAAACUGUUUCUACUUUUCGUAGGCAUUUCCUAAUUUUUUUACAGCAAGCAAACAAAAAAAAAGUAAAUCCAACAGAAAUCAGGGAUCGAUUGAUCCAAACGUUCGACUGUAAAUCGAUUAUUAUUGCUCAACGAAAUCAUCCACGGGGCCUCAACUUUGAUUAUAUUAUCGGCGUCAAAUGUACCGACGCAUCAAAAAAUACGGUGAAGCAAACAAUAAGAGCUUUGUUCUUCGAAUUCGAAGGACAACUCUGUCAUCAAUCCUCCAUAUUCUUCUCUUCGGCAUAACUGGUAAGCAGCAUACUACAGCAAUAGACCAGUCCACUAACAGCGGUAUACAGUAAGUCAGUAUAAGUCAGUACAGGAAGGGCACGCGAAAUAGACAACUACUUACUAGGCUAGGGUAGUCGUUUUUUCAUCUUCCCUUUAUUUUACUUUACCCUAGUGGAAAUUCUUUUUUCAAAGUUACUAGGUAAUUAGUGAAGAGGUUUAUAAAAGUGACAAGCUUGGUGGAAAGCUCUUAUCUUAGGAGGAAAAGCUAAGUAUGCCCGAGUAGUCUUGAUAUUGGUUGGUUUGAGGUUUCGUUAGUUUUAUACUAACAAGCAAGCUUCGGCGACCGCUCGACCUAGCGCGUUAGCCCCAGUACUAUAGGGAAGGCCUAUGCGAAGAAAAGGCCUGCCCAUCAUCAAAGCAAGCCCAAGUCCAUGCAAGAAGGCCCUCCAGAUCUGUCCAAAUUCAAAGCCCGUCAAAGGCAUAUGAAAUCAUGCAAAGGAUCCGAGCCCAUCCAAAUGAUGUUCAGCGGGCUAAACCCAAGUAGCUCUGGCCCAUGAUCCAAGAGACCCGAAACUCGUUCAUCAUGCUAUCCUUACCUUCUAACUAACCUCUUCGAUUUCGCUUAUCCUAACAGUGAUUGAUUAGGCCUAACUGUUGAAGCUGGUUAUGCAAAGGUUGUUCACACAGGCAGUGUGGCUUCACUUUGUAGUUAGUUUGCUCAUUAAACAGGCAUGUAUAGUACUCAACUGCGGAAAACUCAUAAAAAUGGUGCCUAUCAUCAAAUUCGUGCCGCAUGGCGGGAUUACUCUACUUCUACUCUAUAAAUAGAAACUCGAUAAGCCUUCGAGCUCUAAAAUAAAAUAAAAAAUUAUUAUUAUGGCAGCUCUUGCAGUUUCAGAAAGGCUUUUUCAAAUUUCACAAGAAAUCCAGGAAAUCGAGAAUGAGCUGGGUCAACGCCGAUUUGCCUUAAGAGCCUUUUUGAGGCACCUGCGUCCGGCGAGCCCUGCCGUCGUAGGAGACCGCAUGCGCGCGGCAAAUGAAAACAUAAUGCGCCUCGAGACGAGACGACAAAUGCUGCGAGAUGAACAGCGAGCGCUCAUUGUGCAGGCUGUCACCCUCGGCGACCGGAGAGACUAAGAAAGAAUAUAAUAGUUACAGUCUCUUCCGUUGUGGAAGUUUAUUUACAGAAAUAAAGGAGUUCCAUAUUGUACUCCCUAUUUGCUUUUCUAGUGCUACUUUCCUUGAAAUAAAGAUCGUUGAUAGCCAUAGCAUUUUCUCAAUAAAGAAAGUGAGUAGCAGUGUACUGCUGAAUUGAACUUUCUUGUAUAUUGAAUUGACAAAUUACUAAUGCCUUAAGCUCGGGAUAUAUAUAUAAAUUCUUGGAAAGAUUAUAAAACUCAUGCAGUCACCCCUUAUCUUACUUACUCCAUUUCUUUUGUCAGGAAUAAUGGCCUUAGAUAGCGUUUAUCUUAUCUUUCAAAAGACCUUAAGCUCGCUAUAUUAACCUAUAAAAGUCUUCCGCUUUCAAAUGUUAUCUUUCGCAUGCCUUACGAAAAGCAUUUCAAAAGUGUCAUUUUUUCUGUAUUUUUGGUUGAAAAAGCAAGAGGAAAUGGCACAUUAUUAGAUAAAUAGUGCAGGCAUGUGUUGCACUUUUUUCGAAAUCGAAAGAGCUCUUUUGAGGGGCGCAGCGGAAUUCAUUCAGAAAGCAAGACAGAAUAGGCUCUUACUGCUAACGAAAGAACUUCCCUUAAAUCAAGAUAUUAGCUGUGGGACUUCGGUGCCUUAAGCGGAAGAGGGGAUUUCUUUCUGGCUGCUACGCUCCUUUCUUAUUCUCUUAUUCUUUUUUUCUGUCUCUGAAGUGAGUGAAGUCAAGCUAGCGUCAGCAAAUCGGACAUAAGCAAUACACCCCGUCCUUUAGAAAGACGAUAGCGAUUCUCUUCCAGUGCUUUAAUUAAGAGAAAAAAUAGUAACCUAUAAGAAGAAAUUUUAGGAAUACCCGGAGCCUAGCUCUAUCGGAACUUACCUCAGCGACUUCCUAUCGGCUUCGAGCUAUUAUGCCCCACUAAUGAGGAAUAGGCAACUAAAUCGAAGUCUUCAUUUCCGGCUUUCGUAACUCCCAGGUAACUUCACCCUAAGCCUACUAUACCAUCUCCCGCUUCAAGGGCUGCUCUGCUCUGUCUGAAGAUAGGGCUUUUAGUAUAAUAUCAAGACUGACCUCCUGCUUCUGACUAUGACUGAUUUGCUGAUGUUGAGUUCUAAAUGCUCUAGCUUGAUUCUCAACUCUUAAGAGGGCCUUUAAAAAGACUUAGAUCGAGGAAUCUCAGCAAACAUAGGCAUUUAGCUCAGAUUACGCAUCUCCGACUGAAAACUGAGGAGCGCAGCAAGAGAGUGAAAAUCGGUAAGAAAUUACUUGACUUCAAAUCAGUCAAUCCUAAACAAAAUAUACUGAUUACAGGCUCUACUGAAAUACUGAAACGAAUGAAAUCGAAGUCAAUCUUACUCAAUCCUGGAAAUAGGAGUCGAAAGCCAAUCAUUUGAGAUUGAUGCUUAGGCUUCUUCCUUAGCAAAGAGAAAGUAAGAAUUUGAGAUUUAUCCCUCUAACUCAAGAAAAAGAGCUGCAACUAUUUCCUCAGUCUGACUUCCGUGGAAGUCUAAUUGAUUUCAUUCCUAGGUAGAAUUGGGAGUUGAAAGCCAAUAGGAUUGAAGUCAGAUUCUUUCUCUUUAAAGUUACGAUUGUUCGAAGUUCAAUUUGAUCCGGGUAAGAAGACCUAAAGGCGGCCAAAAGGUUCUUGGGUUUCUUACGCUUUUAUCUCUGUCUCUGCUGUAACUGCUAACAACAAUAGCAAUUUAUCUUCCUUUCUGGCUUAGCCUGUUGCGUAACCGAAUGAGUGUAACGAAAAGAUACGUGAGUUGAACAUAAAAGCUCUAUACUUUACAAGCAAGAGAUUGCUUCAUUCAGGACAGAAAGUUCCUACAAUACUAAAAAAGGGAAAGCUAAAGCAAAAGGGCCAAGAAAACCCCUGCGAAAGCGCAUACGAAUUAUUCCUUGCGCUGCAUUAUCGUAUAAUAAGAUAAAGGCCAGUCACUUCGACUCCUUAAAUAGUGGCAGCAGGUCUUUAUCCUUCGCUUUGGGGUUGAGUUUACGUGCCAUCUUCAGCCUACCUAGGAAAGGGCUACCUUUUUAGUAAAGCAUUUCCCCCGGAAAUAGCCUUAGCUGGAUUUCUUUCUUCGUAGAAAAGUGGCAACAAGCCUUCGUAUAGGGCCAGGGCCGCUUAGCUGCAUCCUUUAGCAUCCUAUGGGCCUAGGUCAGUCAACUUUUUUUAUUAUAAUAAUUUGGUCUCCUGCCCCGGGGCAUUCCUUUAGUAAGUAAUCCGUGCAAAUGAGGGCCUAAGGCUAUUCCUUGCUGCGGAGCUAGCAUUCACACCGCUUUCCUCAUGUCAGCAAGCUCGGGGUCUAACCUCAUCCUAAAACGACUUCUCCAAGCCGUAGACGGAAGACCAAUAAUGAUACAUCCUUAGCUAUAGCUAUGGGAAGAAGUACGAUGCUUGUAGCCAAUUCUACCUCUUAGCGAGGGCUUGACAGAGUUCUAAUAGGGGAUUCCGGUAUAUCGUAUAGUUGUUUAAUCUUGCUUUUAGGAGCGCUCUUUUCAUCCAACUCUUUAUUGAAUAAAGAAAGAGAUUGAGGAGCGUAGGGGCUUAUAGUUUAAUUGGUUGAAACGUACCGCUCAUAACGGUGAUAUUGUAGGUUCGAGCCCUACUAAGCCUACCUUUUCACCUCCGGUGGCUCAGUCAAAGUACCCAAGAUCUAAAUCUAGCGAAACCACACUGCUGCCGCUGCCCUUCGGGCAAUACGCGAUGCAGCCGAAUGAGUUUCACUUGAAAUGAGUUGAUAAGUGUAACGAAAAGAAAGACAUAGGGAAUAGUUCAACUCAUAUUUGAGAUACGUAUCACUCAAACCUACGUAUCUUUCAGUGAAACUCCUUCCUUCGUUCACUUCAAACGUCGUAUUCUAUACGUAAUGAAAAGAUACGUAUAGAGAAACUCAUUUCAUUGCCAAAGAAAGCCCUUUGCUGAGAAGGUAUCACACGAGGAUAUCUAAAAGAAAAUAAAAGAAUGCAAUAGAACACCUUUUCUGACAUCAGGAGAUGAAAGCUUCAAGCCAAUCGGGCGGGCGUCGAAUGAAAUAGGUAGCCGGGUUCUCUUUCUACAACCCUUUUGAAUGGAUGAGUUUAGAAGGCUGCCGGAUAAGUAGAGCCUUUCAAAGAAUUGUUGAAGCAGCCGGGCAUCCACGUAGGACCUGUUGCGAAGUCUUCCCUACUCAAGGGAAUAGAGCGAUUGUUGCAAUCAGAGAAGCCAGCCCCGACUGUGCAUCGAGAAGUUCGUCUAAGCAUGAAUAUUUUCUUUUAUGGGGAACGUCGAUCUCUCUCUAUGGCGUAGAUAGAUAAACCCGAAGCUAGUCUUGAUGGACAAGAAAUGCCCGCUCCGCUACUAAACUCACUUGGAGAAAGCAACUAGGUCCCCAAAAGAAAGGGGCAGGAUAUCAACUCAUUUUUCCCAUUGCAUGCGACAACUAGUCGAGAAAAAAGGGAAGAAAGCCUAAGCGAGCGAGACAAGAAGGAAUGUUGGAGCUAUUCCCUUAGUUGAGUCCUUGCCUCUGGCUUGGGUUCUUAAGCAAUUGGGCGGAUUAAUACUGUAUUACUGUAUCAUUCUGGGCAAGACAGUCGGAAGCGAGCCAAAGGGUCGGCUUACUUUCUGGAAGAAGUAGCUGCUACUGUGAUCAUAUCUGCUGUUCGCAUAUCCGCUCAAGCAAGCCUGUCCCAAGCCGGCCAAGCAGUUGCUUUGAAUCGGAUGUGAGGGAUUGAAUUACUUUAGUAUAUUAGUAUAAAUAUAUCUUUCCCGGGGAAAGAAAUGAUAGUAGCUUGUUGCACGGUCUCUCUAUUGAUUUAUAGUUUGAGGAUUCGUAAGAAGUUGGGGUCGAUUUCUUUCUUUGUUGUUGAUAUCCUACAGAUAUUAUGUUAUUAUGUAUUUCAUCCCUUUGUUUUGUAGAUUCAUUAUGUUAGUGCUUUUAUGGGAAUGAGUUGAUAAACGAAAUGUUCCUUAUUCCCUAUGUUUCGUUACUUCGUUUAUCAACGAAAUGAGUUGAACAUAGUGAAACGAAAUGUUCCUUAUUCCCUAAUCCCUAUUUCUUUCUUUUCGUUUAUCAUAAUAGCAACGAAUACGUAUCUCAAAAGCAUCAAGUUCGGAGGCACCACCUGUAGCGAAUCCAAACAUACCCAACGCCCCCUCGUCUGCCGCUGAAACCCCCCACUCUGAUGCUUCCGGCUCCCGAGGCAAAUCAGCCCUGGACGAAAGAAAGGAGGAACUUAUUCUUUCAAAUAUAAAACGAUCUCGGGGAUGGCCAAAGAGUUGCGGAUUUCAAUGUGACAACCAAUUUGAGCUUAUCGAGGAGAUGAAAAAGGAAGCGGGAGCUAAAAAAGAAGAUUGCCCCGCGACCAAUUCCGCGUUUAAUGGGAUUAGGGAAUACCAAAGUCACGUCCAAGAUGGACGGGGCGGAGGGAAACCUAACGAUUGUUCCAAUCGAGAAGGGGGGAAGACAGGAGUACUCAACGGGGAUAAGGGAUCCCCCCGGGUAGAGGAAGUAAGAGAUGGCUCGCUUUUGGGAGGUAGACUUGGGCAGCAAGCUAUCUGUUGUCCUGACCCGGAAAGCAAAAGUAGCUCGAGCCAAAGGCGACAGCGAGGGGUCGAAUCAAAACCUUUCUUUUCUACGCUUUCUUCUAUUACGAAAUGGAGAGUGUUGUUAUAGUCCUGCUACUUUUAAAGCAUUUCAAGUAGUAGCAUCUCAAGCCAGCAUAAAAAGUGUUUCCAUCAGAUCAGGGCUUUAGGCAAGCUAGCUAGUCAGUGAGCCAGAGAGGGUAGGAGUCACUUGACUUGGAAGAAGAAUUCUCCUAAGCUUGGCACUAGGUGAUCUAUGUGUCAAAGGGCUACUUUUCUUCCUAUCCUUUCCCUUGCCUUGCAGCCUAUGCAUCAAUCCCAUUCUACCGAUGUGUACUUCUUUGGAACAGCUUUCCCGAUCCCAUCAUACUCUUUACCUUUCUUCCCCUUUUUGGUAUUUGCUAUCUUGUGGUCCGGUCCCUUAUUUUUAGGCUUACCACGUGGCUGAUUCCUCUUGCGACGUCUGUUGGGAGGUAGCAUCCAAUAGAUCUAUCUACUAGGCCUUUCGUCGUGGAAGCAAAUGGAAAAGCAAAAGCGGAAACAGCUAGAUCAACUGCCGAAUCAGUCGAACUUGAAGCCUUCGCUCCUAUGUCAAUGGUUGGGAUAGCUGGCUUACCUUCUUAGUUAGGACAUUCAAGCUUCCAGUCUAAUGACUGGACACGACCAACCCCGACUCUCUAAGCCCUCGUCUUUACAGGAAUUGUCGCAGCUGAGCGUAGAUGACUUCCCGCAGAUUGGGCUACUUCUAUUUAUCAAUAUAGAAAGAAGAUCCUACUUUCCCAUCAAGACUAAAAGCGAAAAAGAACCUCUCAUCUUGGGAUGAGACCCUGGAAGCUUUGGCCCGGCAUACUACUAUCAUAUCAGGGAUGAAAGGUGAUCAUUUCUUGUUCUUAGCAGCUAUGGCUAUUCAUUUGAGUAUUCAGGUAAUGAAUAGUCAAUGAGCGAAGGGCGCAGUUACCACAGCUAUGAGUUCAAGCGGCUACCCUAUAGUAGCAGUUCAUUGAGGCUCGACAGACCUGGGCUAAGGAGAUGAUCUGGGUAAACCCCCUUUUUUGGUGAGGUAAGGCACCUCCCACUUUCUGCUAGAGCAAAAAUGAAAGAAAUCGUGUAUGUAAUCCGCCCUCAAAGAGAGCUCAGCUCAAGAGGACUACAUUCAACAGAAGAACGAAUGAAAAAGGAAUUCCUACAGGGAAAGGCAAAUUGAAGGCUUUGGGACAACAUAUUAGAAUAGACAAACAAAGAAAGACAGAGAUAGGGUGCAUCGAAGAAGAUGACUGGUGAUUCUUCACUUCUUUCUUCUCUUCGUUCUCCAUCUAAGUUCCUUAUUGUUUCAACUGCAAACUCCGAAAAAUGAUCCCUCCUUAUACUGCUUGCCGUUCGUUAGCUACUCUAGUUCUCACUCCAAGUAUUCCGUUCGUUCGGACUCUCCAUUCUGGUUAGCUCGGUAGAGUGGCAGGCGAAAUCCGUCUCUCUUUAUAGAUAUUGAGAUAGAUAUUGAGUAGGUAGGCGGCUAGUCACUUCUUACUCGUGUAGUGAGAAAAACCUUAUUUUAUUCUUAGUUCAAUCACGAGUUGAAGGUUUGCGAUAGAUGUUGCCUUUCCUGGAUAAACGAUCUCAAAUCGGCUUUUUUAUUGUUGCAGAUCUGUGAAAAUAAUCGGUUCAUUUGUCCCUGGUUCCGGUUGGAAGUGUCAUCUGUAGCGGGAAUCGAUAUCUGUAUUUGUAUAAAUAUAAGAGAUGCUUUUUGCUUUGUCUUUUAAGCCGGAUCUAGAAUGUAUUGGUAAGGAUCUCUCCCCUGCCUAUUUGUUUGGAGGGUUAUAAUGAUUUUGUGACUUUUUUGGAUUCUUUCUCUCGUCUUACUACUGUUUAUCUGAAAAUAUCUAAGGAUGAGGUUCGUUUUAUCCUUCCUUUGAGAUGAAUCUUCAAAAGUCUUUAUGGUCUGAAGCAGUGUUAACCUAGGUUUACCUGAUUAAUAGGGAUGCUUUCCGUGGUAUUGAAAGGGACCUGUACAAGUGUGAAAUCCUAAUGCUAAAAACUUUAUUCUUCUACCUAAUUUCUAAAUGUAUCGAAGUCCUGGGUAGUAAAGAAAAGUGGGAUGCUAUAUUUCCAGGAUUGGGAUUCGUAAAUAUGUUAAUAGAUUCUUGAUCUAUAUCUUCCAUUUUUGGGUGUGUGUGUGUUAUGUCUAUGUAACCGGGACCUCUCAUGAGAAAUUGGAUCCUAGAGCUGUGAGAUGUGUCUUCACUGGUUAUCCGACAUCACAAAAUGCUUUGAUCCCAUUACAAAAAUCAAGUAUGUCUCUAUGGAUGUUACUUGAUUUUCAAAUCAACCCGAUUUUCAUGACCCAACCAAGAAAACCUUGAGUCAUCAACAAGAAGAACCUGAGUCAAGUGAUCAGCCGUCUUUUAUAAUCCCUAUGUCAUCUGCCCAUAGAGAAAACAAUGCUACUACUCCUCCAGGGGAAGAUGCGGUCAAGACCAAUUAGUGGAAGACAUACUGACCUGACGAGGUAAGAGAGGACUCGUUGUCCCUUAUGUUCCUCUUGUUAAGAGCGAGGAUCUUUCCCUUGAAUUGGGAAAUGUUAAUAUGCCUCAAGAUGAAGAGAGUGAAACUAACCCUGAAACUUCUGAUCUUGAUCUUACGAUUGCAGUCAGGAAAGGGGAAAAAGAGCCUGUACCUAACUCCCUUUGAACUACUAUAUAUCCUAUCCAAAAUUGUCAUCCUCCUACAAGGCCUUUCUUCCUCAUGAAGAAGGAGUAGAGACCUAGCUUUCCUCUGUCUGUUAAAAUGUAAUGCUAUACCUUUUGUCCUUGAGAAUCGGCUGGGUAUAGCGGGAAAGAGUUUGACGAUCUAGUUACAUAUCACAUAAGAUGGGUACUCCCGAUAUUGUCUUGGGAAUUAUCAGUAUAUAUAGUAGCGUACUGGACUCCAUCUACAUAAGUAGAAGCAUUCAAGAAUCACUUGACAGUUCUUAUUUCAAUUUUCCGACUCUCAUCUUGUUAACUGACUUAACCGCAAUACUUAUCCAAAGACAGGACAAGUUGAAAGAGCUUCGGUAGUUACACUUUCUGUCUCGCGUAAGAAAGAGAGUUUAGAGUGCCAUACAAAGAACCUUAGAUAAGGGGAUUCCUCCCAUUGACUGAAGUUCAGAGUCAACCUUCCACACAAGGCAAUCUUCUGAUAGAGGGGAAGAGGCAGAGCACAACCGAUUCUGUGGCACAAGAUGCGCUGGUAUUGCAAAAGCAGGAAUGAGUUCACAACGUUCGAAUAAGCUACUCGACCGACUAAAGCUAAAAGGAGAAAGGGAGAUGACUCUAGUUGUUGAGUACCCUGAGGAAGGUACCGGAUCGACUUCUAGUUGUAGCGGAUCUUACUUACAUCGGUUCUAGCGCUUUCUCUUGAUUCUUUUUUUGAAAGAUCUUUCCUUACCUAAGAAAAGACCUAGAGGAAGAAAAGGAAGCCUCAUAGACUGAAGCCUCUGUUCAGUUCUUGCUCCGGUUGGUUUACGAAUCAAAGGAGACUAACAAACUACAACAAAAGCAAGUGCGCCGGUCGGAUUGACUAAACCAAUGCAACAAUCAAGAAGGCGAUCGAGAAGACAUGAGUUCCCAAACUGUAGUAUAAGUCUUUAUCGCAGAUGUGAGCUUCCCCUCAUCUUACUUCCCGCCACAAAGACAAUAAGAGAAGGAAACCUCUAACAAUAAAGAAGAUGUACUACAACCGCAUACACAUACCCUCGAUACAAAGCAAGAAAGAAAGCAGUCCUCGCCUCGGGUGAGCCCAGAAGUCAAGCAAGAAUCGACUUCACACACUAAGAAUAUCAUCAUUAUCUGAGAAAGAGCUUAAAAGAUCAAAUAAGAUGAAGGAUUUUCCUUUUUUUCAUACUACGACAUUGACUAAGCUAAGAGAAGGAUUUAGGACUGACGGAGAGACUGAGUCAAGCACUAUAGCACAAGGAUUAUCAUUCGCUUGUCUCGAAGAUUCGAAGCAAAAGAACCUUCUCCGCUACGGGGGAAGAAAAGAAUAGACUGGGGUACGGAUUUACUUACUAUUCGACUCGAAGUGGAGGACUACCUAGAUUAGAAUGAGGAUUCAAUAUUUCGUGAUAGUUAUCAUGGAUUGAAAAGGGACGGGCCAAUAGCAACGCAGAAGUUUCAUACAAAGGUGCCUUGAACAGGCGGGGAAAAGACGUUUAAAGCGGAGGGAAAACCAAUCUCAGAAGGGACGGAUGAAAGGGAAAAUUCCUGUGAUUCUUGGUUAGCUGACUAAGAGCGGAUGGGGCGGGCAAGGAGAGCGGCAUUGCUAUAGGUUCGAUUCAUCAAUGUCGGUAUCUCAGUCACAGAUUGAUGUUGUCCUCAAAAUACCCCUUAGUUUUUACUCAACUAUAUCCGUAGUAUCAGGAUUUCGACCACCCGGUCGUUCUUAUGGAUCUCGAUAUGUUUGGCUAACUACGAUGGAAUAGAGCCAUUCUAAGUAGAACCCCUUCUUACGAUAUGUCAGAUAGAGCGGGAUCAGUCACGUAAUAGCCCCCAGCCCUUUCCUUACGAUGAUUCAUGCCUUGCUCGUGCCGUAAGAAUGUCGUAUGCAAAUGAAUUCACUUUUGGUAUAGAAUAAAUGGGCGAAAGCCCGAUGCAGCAACUUGCGAGGGGUUGUGCUUUGCUACUUGCUUAGGUUUCCAUCUAUUGUAUUUAUCUACAUGGGAAUGAAUUCGUCCGUCAAACCCGCCAUUUGUAUGCACCCGAACAUGUUCAAUCGACCUUCGGCGUAAGCGACUUCGUACUGCUAUAGGCUCUAGUUAGGACUUAGAUAUGAACACCCCCCUUCGUUAGAAUCCACCCUAAAGUUUCUUAGUAAACAGGGAUCGUUCAGUAAUGACCUAGUCUUUCGCGAGACUUCAGGUUUACCUCUUUUGUUAGGUCUCGACUUCUCCGUUAUGAUCGCGUUUUGUACCCCUACUAAGAACUUGAGAGACGGAACUAUGACUCACGGAAGCGGUAUAUUAGUGCCUUAUGCGGGAAAUCCUUGCUUGACUUGUUGAUCAUCUAUCAUUACUGGCGAAGCAAGCAUACCGAUAAUCAACUCGCUUGAGAGAACAAUUCGAGAAGGAAGACCCCAAGCCAGCCCAAGCAAGAAAGAGGAACUAAAGUCAACUAAUGCUUAAGACAUCCAAGUUCGGACAUCUAAGCCAGUUCCGGUCCUUCCAUCUGCCUCUAUCUCAAUAGCUUUCAAAAUCGAGUGAUUUGAUUAGCUUACAUCGGAGGAUGGUCUAAAGCUGGCCCUUGCUAUCAGUCCAACCAAGGGCACCCCUUCCUAGUCCGCUUAGUCGGUUGAGUAAACAAACCCGGAUUCUAAUAUGGGUCGAGUAGUGAGUUCCACUUUCUCUUCCGCAGCAAGCCUAGUCUACUUUCGUAAAGUCAACAAGGCCUUACGUUUACCGUUGUUCCCAGACCAUGGCGUAUACCACCAUAGCAAUAGCAUAAGAAGAAUCCGCAUAUUAGUAGGAAUGUUCCUAACUCCUAACCUCUAGACUGAAACUUCACCUGAAAGCAAGGCUUGAGAGCAAAGGAACCCGCGCAUUACACUACCAAUCCUUGGGCUUGGGCUUUACUUAUUCUUAUUUACAACAAAGGAAAAACCAGCCAAGUUCUUCUAAAGUCAUUCUUUUCUNNNNNNNNNNNNNNNNNNNNNNNNNNNNNNNNNNNNNNNNNNNNNNNNNNNNNNNNNNNNNNNNNNNNNNNNNNNNNNNNNNNNNNNNNNNNNNNNNNNNUAAAACCCAGUGAUGGCCAACCGUAUGCAUAGACAACGUCUUGACGGACGUCCACGAACAAAUUUGGCAUUUUUGACGUCGGAAUCCCGAUCACCCAAAAAAUGGUGUGCAAUAGCACACGAAAAUCGUCAAAAUGAGGCGUAUGCUCGCUCCGGGCUCGUUUGACCUUCCAAAUGGCCCAGAAAACCCGUGAUGGCCAACCGUAUGCAUAGACAACGUCUUGACGGACGUCCACGAACAAAUUUGGCAUUUUUGACGUCGGAAUCCCGAUCACCCAAAAAUGGUGUGCAAUAGCACACGAAAAUCGUCAAAAUGAGGCGUAUGCUCGCUCCGGGGCUCGUUUGACCUUCCAAAUGGCCCAGAAAACCCGUGAUGGCCAACCGUAUGCAUAGACAACGUCUUGACGGACGUCCACGAACAAAUUUGGCAUUUUUGACGUCGGAAUCCCGAUCACCCAAAAAAUGGUGUGCAAUAGCACACGAAAAUCGUCAAAAUGAGGCGUAUGCUCGCUCCGGGGCUCGUUUGACCUUCCAAAUGCCCAGAAAAACCCGUGAUGGCCAACCGUAUGCAUAGACAACGUCUUGACGGACGUCCACGAACAAAUUUUGGCAUUUUUGACGUCGGAAUCCCGAUCACCCAAAAAAUGGUGUGCAAUAGCACACGAAAAUCGUCAAAAUGAGGCGUAUGCUCGCUCCGGGGCUCGUUUGACCUUCCAAACGGCCCAGAAAAACCCGUGAUGGCCAACCGUAUGCAUAGACAACGUCUUGACGGACGUCCACGAACAAAUUUGGCAUUUUUGACGUCGGAAUCCCGAUCACCCAAAAAAUGGUGUGCAAUAGCACACGAAAAUCGUCAAAAUGAGGCGUAUGCUCGCUCCGGGGCUCGUUUGACCUUCCAAAUGGCCCAGAAAACCCGUGAUGGCCAACCGUAUGCAUAGACAACGUCUUGACGGACGUCCACGAAACAAAUUUGGCAUUUUUGACGUCGGAAUCCCGAUCACCAAAAAAUGGUGUGCAAUAGCACACGAAAAUCGUCAAAAUGAGGCGUAUGCUCGCUCCGGGGCUCGUUUGACCUUCCAAAUGGCCCAGAAAACCCGUGAUGGCCAACCGUAUGCAUAGACAACGUCUUGACGACGUCCACGAACAAAUUUGGCAUUUUUGACGUCGGAAUCCCGAUCACACCAAAAAAUGGUGUGCAAUAGCACACGAAAAUCGUCAAAAUGAGGCGUAUGCUCGCUCCGGGGCUCGUUUGACCUUCCAAAUGGCCAGAAAACCCGUGAUGGCAACCGUAUGCAUAGACAACGUCUUGACGGACGUCCACGAACAAAUUUGGCAUUUUUGACGUCGGAAUCCCGAUCACCCAAAAAAGGUGUGCAAUAGCACACGAAAAUCGUCAAAAUGAGGCGUAUGCUCGCUCCGGGGCUCGUUUGACCUUCCAAAUGGCCCAGAAAACCCGUGAUGGCCAACCGUAUGCAUAGACAACGUCUUGACGGACGUCCACGAACAAAUUUGGCAUUUUUGACGUCGGAAUCCCGAUCACCCAAAAAAUGUGUGUGCAAUAGCACACGAAAAUCGUCAAAAUGAGGCGUAUGCUCGCUCCGGGGCUCGUUUGACCUUCCAAACGGCCCAGAAAACCCGUGAUGGCCAACCGUAUGCAUAGACAACGUCUUGACGGACGUCCACGAACAAAUUUGGCAUUUUUGACGUCGGAAUCCUGAUCACCCAAAAAAUGGUGUGCAAUAGCACACGAAAAUCGUCAAAAUGAGGCGUAUGCUCGCUCCGGGGCUCGUUUGACCUUCCAAAUGGCCCAGAAAAACCCGUGAUGGCCAACCGUAUGCAUAGACAACGUCUUGACGGACGUCCACGAACAAAUUUGGCAUUUUUGACGUCGGAAUCCGAUCACCCAAAAAAUGGUGUGCAAUAGCACACGAAAAUCGUCAAAAUGAGGCGUAUGCUCGCUCCGGGCUCGUUUGACCUUCCAAAUGACCCAGAAAACCCGUGAUGGCCAACCGUAUGCAUAGACAACGUCUUGACGGACGUCCACGAACAAUUUGGCAUUUUUGACGUCGGAAUCCCGAUCACCCAAAAAAAUGGUGUGCAAUAGCCACCACGAAAUCGUCAAAAUGAGGCGUAUGCUCGCUCCGGGGCUCGUUUGACCUUCCAAAUGGCCCAGAAAACCCGUGAUGGCCAACCGUAUGCAUAGACAACGUCUUGACGGACGUCCACGAACAAAUUUGGCAUUUUUGACGUCGGAAUCCCGAUCACCCAAAAAUGGUGUGCAAUAGCACACGAAAAUCGUCAAAAUGAGGCGUAUGCUCGCUCCGGGGCUCGUUUGACCUUCCAAAUGGCCCAGAAAACCCGUGAUGGCCAACCGUAUGCAUAGACAACGUCUUGACGGACGUCCACGAACAAAUUUGGCAUUUUUGACGUCGGAAUCCCGAUCACCCAAAAAAUGGUGUGCAAUAGCACACGAAAAUCGUCAAAAUGAGGCGUAUGCUCGCUCCGGGGCUCGUUUGACCUUCCAAAUGGCCCAGAAAACCGUGAUGGCCAACCGUAUGCAUAGACAACGUCUUGACGGACGUCCACGAACAAAUUUGGCAUUUUUGACGUCGGAAUCCCGAUCACCCAAAAAAUGGUGUGCAAUAGCACACGAAAAUCGUCAAAAUGAGGGCGUAUGCUCGCUCCGGGGCUCGUUUGACCUUCCAAAUGGCCCAGAAAACCCGUGAUGGCCAACCGUAUGCAUAGACAACGUCUUGACGGACGUCCACGAACAAAUUUGGCAUUUUUGACGUCGGAAUCCCGAUCACCCAAAAAAGGUGUGCAAUAGCACACGAAAAUCGUCAAAAUGAGGCGUAUGCUCGCUCCGGGGCUCGUUUGACCUUCCAAAUGGCCCAGAAAACCCGUGAUGGCCAACCGUAUGCAUAGACAACGUCUUGACGGACGUCCACGAACAAAUUUGGCAUUUUUGACGUCGGAAUCCCGAUCACCCAAAAAAUGGUGUGCAAUAGCACACGAAAAUCGUCAAAAUGAGGCGUAUGCUCGCUCCGGGGCUCGUUUGACCUUCCAAAUGGCCCAGAAAACCCGUGAUGGCCAACCGUAUGCAUAGACAACGUCUUGACGGACGUCCACGAACAAAUUUGGCAUUUUUGACGUCGGAAUCCCGAUCACCCAAAAAAUGGUGUGCAAUAGCACACGAAAAUCGUCAAAAUGAGGCGUAUGCUCGCUCCGGGCUCGUUUGACCUUCCAAACGGCCCAGAAAACCCGUGAUGGCCAACCGUAUGCAUAGACAACGUCUUGACGGACGUCCACGAACAAAUUUGGCAUUUUUGACGUCGGAAUCCUGAUCACCCAAAAAAUGGUGUGCAAUAGCACACGAAAAUCGUCAAAAUGAGGCGUAUGCUCGCUCCGGGGCUCGUUUGACCUUCCAAAUGGCCCAGAAAACCCGUGAUGGCCAACCGUAUGCAUAGACAACGUCUUGACGGACGUCCACGAACAAAUUUGGCAUUUUUGACGUCGGAAUCCCGAUCACCCAAAAAAUGGUGUGCAAUAGCACACGAAAAUCGUCAAAAUGAGGCGUAUGCUCGCUCCGGGGCUCGUUUGACCUUCCAAAUGGCCCAGAAAACCCGUGAUGGCCAACCGUAUGCAUAGACAACGUCUUGACGGACGUCCACGAACAAAUUUGGCAUUUUUGACGUCGGAAUCCUGAUCACCCAAAAAAUGGUGUGCAAUAGCACACGAAAAUCGUCAAAAUGAGGCGUAUGCUCGCUCCGGGGCUCGUUUGACCUUCCAAAUGGCCCAGAAAACCCGUGAUGGCCAACCGUAUGCAUAGACAACGUCUUGACGGACGUCCACGAACAAAUUUGGCAUUUUUGACGUCGGAAUCCCGAUCACCCAAAAAAUGGUGUGCAAUAGCACACGAAAAUCGUCAAAAUGAGGCGUAUGCUCGCUCCGGGGCUCGUUUGACCUUCCAAAUGGCCCAGAAAACCCGUGAUGGCCAACCGUAUGCAUAGACAACGUCUUGACGGACGUCCACGAACAAAUUUGGCAUUUUUGACGUCGGAAUCCGAUCACCCAAAAAAUGGUGUGCAAUAGCACACGAAAAUCGUCAAAAUGAGGCGUAUGCUCGCUCCGGGGCUCGUUUGACCUUCCAAAUGGCCCAGAAAACCCGUGAUGGCCAACCGUAUGCAUAGACAACGUCUUGACGGACGUCCACGAACAAAUUUGGCAUUUUUGACGUCGGAAUCCCGAUCACCCAAAAAAUGGUGUGCAAUAGCACACGAAAAUCGUCAAAAUGAGGCGUAUGCUCGCUCCGGGGCUCGUUUGACCUUCCAAAUGGCCCAGAAAACCCGUGAUGGCCAACCGUAUGCAUAGACAACGUCUUGACGGACGUCCACGAACAAAUUUGGCAUUUUUGACGUCGGAAUCCCGAUCACCCAAAAAAUGGUGUGCAAUAGCACACGAAAAUCGUCAAAAUGAGGCGUAUGCUCGCUCCGGGGCUCGUUUGACCUUCCAAAUGGCCCAGAAAACCCGUGAUGGCCAACCGUAUGCAUAGACAACGUCUUGACGGACGUCCACGAACAAAUUUGGCAUUUUUGACGUCGGAAUCCCGAUCACCCAAAAAAUGGUGUGCAAUAGCACACGAAAAUCGUCAAAAUGAGGCGUAUGCUCGCUCCGGGGCUCGUUUGACCUUCCAAAUGGCCCAGAAAACCCGUGAUGGCCAACCGUAUGCAUAGACAACGUCUUGACGGACGUCCACGAACAAAUUUGGCAUUUUUGACGUCGGAAUCCCGAUCACCCAAAAAAUGGUGUGCAAUAGCACACGAAAAUCGUCAAAAUGAGGCGUAUGCUCGCUCCGGGGCUCGUUUGACCUUCCAAAUGGCCCAGAAAACCCGUGAUGGCCAACCGUAUGCAUAGACAACGUCUUGACGGACGUCCACGAACAAAUUUGGCAUUUUUGACGUCGGAAUCCCGAUCACCCAAAAAAUGGUGUGCAAUAGCACACGAAAAUCGUCAAAAUGAGGCGUAUGCUCGCUCCGGGGCUCGUUUGACCUUCCAAAUGGCCCAGAAAACCCGUGAUGGCCAACCGUAUGCAUAGACAACGUCUUGACGGACGUCCACGAACAAAUUUGGCAUUUUUGACGUCGGAAUCCCGAUCACCCAAAAAAUGGUGUGCAAUAGCACACGAAAAUCGUCAAAAUGAGGCGUAUGCUCGCUCCGGGGCUCGUUUGACCUUCCAAAUGGCCCAGAAAACCCGUGAUGGCCAACCGUAUGCAUAGACAACGUCUUGACGGACGUCCACGAACAAAUUUGGCAUUUUUGACGUCGGAAUCCCGAUCACCCAAAAAAUGGUGUGCAAUAGCACACGAAAAUCGUCAAAAUGAGGCGUAUGCUCGCUCCGGGGCUCGUUUGACCUUCCAAAUGGCCCAGAAAACCCGUGAUGGCCAACCGUAUGCAUAGACAACGUCUUGACGGACGUCCACGAACAAAUUUGGCAUUUUUGACGUCGGAAUCCUGAUCACCCAAAAAAUGGUGUGCAAUAGCACACGAAAAUCGUCAAAAUGAGGCGUAUGCUCGCUCCGGGGCUCGUUUGACCUUCCAAAUGGCCCAGAAAACCCGUGAUGGCCAACCGUAUGCAUAGACAACGUCUUGACGGACGUCCACGAACAAAUUUGGCAUUUUUGACGUCGGAAUCCCGAUCACCCAAAAAUGGUGUGCAAUAGCACACGAAAAUCGUCAAAAUGAGGCGUAUGCUCGCUCCGGGGCUCGUUUGACCUUCCAAACGGCCCAGAAAACCCGUGAUGGCCAACCGUAUGCAUAGACAACGUCUUGACGGACGUCCACGAACAAAUUUGGCAUUUUUGACGUCGGAAUCCCGAUCACCCAAAAAAUGGUGUGCAAUAGCACACGAAAAUCGUCAAAAUGAGGCGUAUGCUCGCUCCGGGGCUCGUUUGACCUUCCAAAUGGCCCAGAAAACCCGUGAUGGCCAACCGUAUGCAUAGACAACGUCUUGACGGACGUCCACGAACAAAUUUGGCAUUUUUGACGUCGGAAUCCCGAUCACCCAAAAAAUGGUGUGCAAUAGCACACGAAAAUCGUCAAAAUGAGGCGUAUGCUCGCUCCGGGGCUCGUUUGACCUUCCAAAUGGCCCAGAAAACCCGUGAUGGCCAACCGUAUGCAUAGACAACGUCUUGACGGACGUCCACGAACAAAUUUGGCAUUUUUGACGUCGGAAUCCCGAUCACCCAAAAAAUGGUGUGCAAUAGCACACGAAAAUCGUCAAAAUGAGGCGUAUGCUCGCUCCGGGGCUCGUUUGACCUUCCAAAUGGCCCAGAAAACCCGUGAUGGCCAACCGUAUGCAUAGACAACGUCUUGACGGACGUCCACGAACAAAUUUGGCAUUUUUGACGUCGGAAUCCCGAUCACCCAAAAAAUGGUGUGCAAUAGCACACGAAAAUCGUCAAAAUGAGGCGUAUGCUCGCUCCGGGGCUCGUUUGACCUUCCAAAUGGCCCAGAAAACCCGUGAUGGCCAACCGUAUGCAUAGACAACGUCUUGACGGACGUCCACGAACAAAUUUGGCAUUUUUGACGUCGGAAUCCCGAUCACCCAAAAAAUGGUGUGCAAUAGCACACGAAAAUCGUCAAAAUGAGGCGUAUGCUCGCUCCGGGGCUCGUUUGACCUUCCAAAUGGCCCAGAAAACCCGUGAUGGCCAACCGUAUGCAUAGACAACGUCUUGACGGACGUCCACGAACAAAUUUGGCAUUUUUGACGUCGGAAUCCCGAUCACCCAAAAAAUGGUGUGCAAUAGCACACGAAAAUCGUCAAAAUGAGGCGUAUGCUCGCUCCGGGGCUCGUUUGACCUUCCAAAUGGCCCAGAAAACCCGUGAUGGCCAACCGUAUGCAUAGACAACGUCUUGACGGACGUCCACGAACAAAUUUGGCAUUUUUGACGUCGGAAUCCCGAUCACCCAAAAAAUGGUGUGCAAUAGCACACGAAAAUCGUCAAAAUGAGGCGUAUGCUCGCUCCGGGGCUCGUUUGACCUUCCAAAUGGCCCAGAAAACCCGUGAUGGCCAACCGUAUGCAUAGACAACGUCUUGACGGACGUCCACGAACAAAUUUGGCAUUUUUGACGUCGGAAUCCGAUCACCCAAAAAAUGGUGUGCAAUAGCACACGAAAAUCGUCAAAAUGAGGCGUAUGCUCGCUCCGGGGCUCGUUUGACCUUCCAAAUGGCCCAGAAAACCCGUGAUGGCCAACCGUAUGCAUAGACAACGUCUUGACGGACGUCCACGAACAAAUUUGGCAUUUUUGACGUCGGAAUCCCGAUCACCCAAAAAAUGGUGUGCAAUAGCACACGAAAAUCGUCAAAAUGAGGCGUAUGCUCGCUCCGGGGCUCGUUUGACCUUCCAAAUGGCCCAGAAAACCCGUGAUGGCCAACCGUAUGCAUAGACAACGUCUUGACGGACGUCCACGAACAAAUUUGGCAUUUUUGACGUCGGAAUCCCGAUCACCCAAAAAAUGGUGUGCAAUAGCACACGAAAAUCGUCAAAAUGAGGCGUAUGCUCGCUCCGGGGCUCGUUUGACCUUCCAAAUGGCCCAGAAAACCCGUGAUGGCCAACCGUAUGCAUAGACAACGUCUUGACGGACGUCCACGAACAAAUUUGGCAUUUUUGACGUCGGAAUCCCGAUCACCCAAAAAAUGGUGUGCAAUAGCACACGAAAAUCGUCAAAAUGAGGCGUAUGCUCGCUCCGGGGCUCGUUUGACCUUCCAAAUGGCCCAGAAAACCCGUGAUGGCCAACCGUAUGCAUAGACAACGUCUUGACGGACGUCCACGAACAAAUUUGGCAUUUUUGACGUCGGAAUCCCGAUCACCCAAAAAAUGGUGUGCAAUAGCACACGAAAAUCGUCAAAAUGAGGCGUAUGCUCGCUCCGGGGCUCGUUUGACCUUCCAAAUGGCCCAGAAAACCCGUGAUGGCCAACCGUAUGCAUAGACAACGUCUUGACGGACGUCCACGAACAAAUUUGGCAUUUUUGACGUCGGAAUCCCGAUCACCCAAAAAAUGGUGUGCAAUAGCACACGAAAAUCGUCAAAAUGAGGCGUAUGCUCGCUCCGGGGCUCGUUUGACCUUCCAAAUGGCCCAGAAAACCCGUGAUGGCCAACCGUAUGCAUAGACAACGUCUUGACGGACGUCCACGAACAAAUUUGGCAUUUUUGACGUCGGAAUCCCGAUCACCCAAAAAAUGGUGUGCAAUAGCACACGAAAAUCGUCAAAAUGAGGCGUAUGCUCGCUCCGGGGCUCGUUUGACCUUCCAAAUGGCCCAGAAAACCCGUGAUGGCCAACCGUAUGCAUAGACAACGUCUUGACGGACGUCCACGAACAAAUUUGGCAUUUUUGACGUCGGAAUCCCGAUCACCCAAAAAAUGGUGUGCAAUAGCACACGAAAAUCGUCAAAAUGAGGCGUAUGCUCGCUCCGGGGCUCGUUUGACCUUCCAAAUGGCCCAGAAAACCCGUGAUGGCCAACCGUAUGCAUAGACAACGUCUUGACGGACGUCCACGAACAAAUUUGGCAUUUUUGACGUCGGAAUCCUGAUCACCCAAAAAAUGGUGUGCAAUAGCACACGAAAAUCGUCAAAAUGAGGCGUAUGCUCGCUCCGGGGCUCGUUUGACCUUCCAAAUGGCCCAGAAAACCCGUGAUGGCCAACCGUAUGCAUAGACAACGUCUUGACGGACGUCCACGAACAAAUUUGGCAUUUUUGACGUCGGAAUCCCGAUCACCCAAAAAAUGGUGUGCAAUAGCACACGAAAAUCGUCAAAAUGAGGCGUAUGCUCGCUCCGGGGCUCGUUUGACCUUCCAAAUGGCCCAGAAAACCCGUGAUGGCCAACCGUAUGCAUAGACAACGUCUUGACGGACGUCCACGAACAAAUUUGGCAUUUUUGACGUCGGAAUCCUGAUCACCCAAAAAAUGGUGUGCAAUAGCACACGAAAAUCGUCAAAAUGAGGCGUAUGCUCGCUCCGGGGCUCGUUUGACCUUCCAAAUGGCCCAGAAAACCCGUGAUGGCCAACCGUAUGCAUAGACAACGUCUUGACGGACGUCCACGAACAAAUUUGGCAUUUUUGACGUCGGAAUCCCGAUCACCCAAAAAAUGGUGUGCAAUAGCACACGAAAAUCGUCAAAAUGAGGCGUAUGCUCGCUCCGGGGCUCGUUUGACCUUCCAAAUGGCCCAGAAAACCCGUGAUGGCCAACCGUAUGCAUAGACAACGUCUUGACGGACGUCCACGAACAAAUUUGGCAUUUUUGACGUCGGAAUCCUGAUCACCCAAAAAAUGGUGUGCAAUAGCACACGAAAAUCGUCAAAAUGAGGCGUAUGCUCGCUCCGGGGCUCGUUUGACCUUCCAAAUGGCCCAGAAAACCCGUGAUGGCCAACCGUAUGCAUAGACAACGUCUUGACGGACGUCCACGAACAAAUUUGGCAUUUUUGACGUCGGAAUCCCGAUCACCCAAAAAAUGGUGUGCAAUAGCACACGAAAAUCGUCAAAAUGAGGCGUAUGCUCGCUCCGGGGCUCGUUUGACCUUCCAAAUGGCCCAGAAAACCCGUGAUGGCCAACCGUAUGCAUAGACAACGUCUUGACGGACGUCCACGAACAAAUUUGGCAUUUUUGACGUCGGAAUCCCGAUCACCCAAAAAAUGGUGUGCAAUAGCACACGAAAAUCGUCAAAAUGAGGCGUAUGCUCGCUCCGGGGCUCGUUUGACCUUCCAAAUGGCCCAGAAAACCCGUGAUGGCCAACCGUAUGCAUAGACAACGUCUUGACGGACGUCCACGAACAAAUUUGGCAUUUUUGACGUCGGAAUCCCGAUCACCCAAAAAAUGGUGUGCAAUAGCACACGAAAAUCGUCAAAAUGAGGCGUAUGCUCGCUCCGGGGCUCGUUUGACCUUCCAAAUGGCCCAGAAAACCCGUGAUGGCCAACCGUAUGCAUAGACAACGUCUUGACGGACGUCCACGAACAAAUUUGGCAUUUUUGACGUCGGAAUCCCGAUCACCCAAAAAAUGGUGUGCAAUAGCACACGAAAAUCGUCAAAAUGAGGCGUAUGCUCGCUCCGGGGCUCGUUUGACCUUCCAAAUGGCCCAGAAAACCCGUGAUGGCCAACCGUAUGCAUAGACAACGUCUUGACGGACGUCCACGAACAAAUUUGGCAUUUUUGACGUCGGAAUCCCGAUCACCCAAAAAAUGGUGUGCAAUAGCACACGAAAAUCGUCAAAAUGAGGCGUAUGCUCGCUCCGGGGCUCGUUUGACCUUCCAAAUGGCCCAGAAAACCCGUGAUGGCCAACCGUAUGCAUAGACAACGUCUUGACGGACGUCCACGAACAAAUUUGGCAUUUUUGACGUCGGAAUCCCGAUCACCCAAAAAAUGGUGUGCAAUAGCACACGAAAAUCGUCAAAAUGAGGCGUAUGCUCGCUCCGGGGCUCGUUUGACCUUCCAAAUGGCCCAGAAAACCCGUGAUGGCCAACCGUAUGCAUAGACAACGUCUUGACGGACGUCCACGAACAAAUUUGGCAUUUUUGACGUCGGAAUCCCGAUCACCCAAAAAAUGGUGUGCAAUAGCACACGAAAAUCGUCAAAAUGAGGCGUAUGCUCGCUCCGGGGCUCGUUUGACCUUCCAAAUGGCCCAGAAAACCCGUGAUGGCCAACCGUAUGCAUAGACAACGUCUUGACGGACGUCCACGAACAAAUUUGGCAUUUUUGACGUCGGAAUCCUGAUCACCCAAAAAAUGGUGUGCAAUAGCACACGAAAAUCGUCAAAAUGAGGCGUAUGCUCGCUCCGGGGCUCGUUUGACCUUCCAAAUGGCCCAGAAAACCCGUGAUGGCCAACCGUAUGCAUAGACAACGUCUUGACGGACGUCCACGAACAAAUUUGGCAUUUUUGACGUCGGAAUCCCGAUCACCCAAAAAAUGGUGUGCAAUAGCACACGAAAAUCGUCAAAAUGAGGCGUAUGCUCGCUCCGGGGCUCGUUUGACCUUCCAAAUGGCCCAGAAAACCCGUGAUGGCCAACCGUAUGCAUAGACAACGUCUUGACGGACGUCCACGAACAAAUUUGGCAUUUUUGACGUCGGAAUCCGAUCACCCAAAAAAUGGUGUGCAAUAGCACACGAAAAUCGUCAAAAUGAGGCGUAUGCUCGCUCCGGGGCUCGUUUGACCUUCCAAAUGGCCCAGAAAACCCGUGAUGGCCAACCGUAUGCAUAGACAACGUCUUGACGGACGUCCACGAACAAAUUUGGCAUUUUUGACGUCGGAAUCCCGAUCACCCAAAAAAUGGUGUGCAAUAGCACACGAAAAUCGUCAAAAUGAGGCGUAUGCUCGCUCCGGGGCUCGUUUGACCUUCCAAAUGGCCCAGAAAACCCGUGAUGGCCAACCGUAUGCAUAGACAACGUCUUGACGGACGUCCACGAACAAAUUUGGCAUUUUUGACGUCGGAAUCCGAUCACCCAAAAAAUGGUGUGCAAUAGCACACGAAAAUCGUCAAAAUGAGGCGUAUGCUCGCUCCGGGGCUCGUUUGACCUUCCAAAUGGCCCAGAAAACCCGUGAUGGCCAACCGUAUGCAUAGACAACGUCUUGACGGACGUCCACGAACAAAUUUGGCAUUUUUGACGUCGGAAUCCCGAUCACCCAAAAAAUGGUGUGCAAUAGCACACGAAAAUCGUCAAAAUGAGGCGUAUGCUCGCUCCGGGGCUCGUUUGACCUUCCAAAUGGCCCAGAAAACCCGUGAUGGCCAACCGUAUGCAUAGACAACGUCUUGACGGACGUCCACGAACAAAUUUGGCAUUUUUGACGUCGGAAUCCCGAUCACCCAAAAAAUGGUGUGCAAUAGCACACGAAAAUCGUCAAAAUGAGGCGUAUGCUCGCUCCGGGGCUCGUUUGACCUUCCAAAUGGCCCAGAAAACCCGUGAUGGCCAACCGUAUGCAUAGACAACGUCUUGACGGACGUCCACGAACAAAUUUGGCAUUUUUGACAUCGGAAUCCCGAUCACCCAAAACGAACUAGGUUAAAAUAGAGCCUCUCAUGUGCUUAAAGAGUUAAAAUGAAUAACGUGUCUCCUUAGAAUUCGUAAAUUGUGAAAAACUAAACCAUAUUAAAUAGCUGACCACGUAGAUCUCGAAAAAAUAUGCAGAAAAAAAAAAUCGCGUGAAACGGAUAUUGGAGGCAAAAGUUUUAAUCAUUUGAAGUUUGACCCAAUUAAAGAGUGAAACUCAAAAAAAGUAGUUGUAAAUUUGUGAAAUUGCAAACGGUCAUAACUUUUGACUCGGAUGUCCGAUUGAGGCGAUUUUUUUUUGAAAUUGGAUAUUUUUUCGAGAUCUAUGCGAUCAAACUGCCGAAUGGCGGUUUGGACGAGCCGAUUUUUCAAUAAACGUCUUUUAUCACAUUCAAUUUUAAAUUUCCCCCAAACUUGAAGAAAAUUGUAAUUCUUUAUUGGUACAAAUCUGAUAAAAGAAAAUAGAUUUUUGAGUUCGAAGUACCUUGGUAACGCAUCUCAGAAUGUCUAUUUUAAUGUUAGACACUCAAUUUUAUGAUAAAACUCUUUUAUCGCGUUCAAUUUUACGUUUCCCCCAAUUUGUGCAUAAGGAUUUGUUCCUCAAAUGGGUUUAUUCAUUUUUUUGGGUAAUUUUUUGUCUCUUUUUUUUUGGUUUGCGUUAUUUUUUUAUUAUAUUUUUUUAUUCUGUUUUUUUGCGUCGAUUUUUUUUGUUUUUUUUGGUAAAUUUUUUUUGGGUUUAUUUUUUUGUCCUUUUUGUUUGCAUCUUUUUUUUCCUCCCUUUUUUAGCAUUUUUUUGCUUAUUUUAUUUUGUCAAAUUUUUUUAUGCGAGUUUUUUUUUGCAUCCCUGUUUUUUGGCGUUUUUUUUGGUAAUUUUUUUAUCCGUUUUUUUUUGUGUUUUUUUAUAUCUGGGUUUUUUAUUUUUUGCGUAGCUUUGUUUUUUUUGGUAAAUUAUUUUUAUCCGUUUUUUUUGUUUUUUUUCCAGCGGUUUUUUUUAAUUUUGGUAAUUGUUUUUUAUUCGGGGUUUUUUUAGCGUUCUCUUCAAUUUUGUGUGAAAAAUCCACAUUGGAUCACCACUAACAUGUCUGUUCCAACACUGUUCCACAGUUGAUAAAAAUGUUUCAUUCUCAGUCCAGCAAUUGAGGAAUUUGAAAUAUUUAAUCACUGGUAUCUGAUUAUUACACAUUUCCAUAAAUAAAGGAGAGUGAUAUGAUCCAACUGAAGGAAGAUGAGUGAUAGUACUUUGAGGCAUCCUAUCAAGCCAUUUGUCAUUAACCAUACCCCUAUCUAACCUUUUCCAAAUUCUAGCACCAUCCUUCCUGUGGUUACACCAUUUAUAAUGCUGACCAUUAUACCCCAUAUCAACUAAGCCACAGGCCUCAAUAAUACUAAUAAAUUCAAGACUCUUAUUCAUGUUGUAUUCUCUACCCCCAAGUUUUUCUUGAGUAGAGGAGAUAACAUUAAAGUCUCCAAUAGUUCACCAAGUCUCCAAUAGGGUUUAGGGUUUAGGGUUUAGGGUUUAGGGUUUAGGGUUUAGGGUUUUGGGGUUUGGGGUUUGGGGUUUGGGGUUUGGGGUUUGGGAUUGGGGUUAGGGGUUUGGGGUUUGGGGUUUGGGGGGGUUUCGGGUUUGGGGUUUGGGGUUGGGGGUUCGGGGUUGGGGUUUGGGGUUCGGGGUUCGGGGUUUGGGGUUUGGGGUUUGGGGUUUGGGGUUUGGGGUUUGGGUUUUGGGGUUUGGGGUUUGGGGUUUGGGGUUUGGGGUUUAGGGUUUAGGGUUUUUUUUUUUGGUAAACGACCCUUGGAGUGGGUCAGGGGCUUAGCAACACCCCCAGGCCUUAACAUAUAUAUGAACAAAAUUUUACAAGAAGGGGGGCAUUGACCUUACCUUCUAAAAUUUGGUAGGUAUGUAAUUGACUUAUCUACUAAGAUAGUCAAUUACACCCUUAUACAAUAAGAUGCACAAUUAGAAUGUAAUACCUAGAGAGGACUCCUCUCUUAAUACAUUUUCUAAUAAGCAUAAAUGAGGGAGACUCUCCCCUUACAUGGAUAAUGAAAUUAAUAAACCUAUUCUACCAACUAAAACAGUCAAUGAAUAAGUUUAAUGACAUUAGAAUUACAACUUAAGUAUAGAAAUUGUAUCUAGGGAGGAUGUUUUAUUCUCUUGAGUUUCCUUCUUCUAAAAUUCUGGAUACCCAUCUUCUCCAAUAUAUAACUUCUUCUAAUUGCUCCCUUGAGUUGUGUUGUUGUAUAAAAAUGUUGAAGUAUUUCCAGCUUGUGGCUCCAUUUAGCUAGCAUGUCUGCAGUACAGUUUGCUUCUCUGUAUUUGUGAUGACACUGAAAAUGAUCCAAUUUCCUAACUAUUUGUUGAAUUUGCUGGAUAGUUUCUUCAUAUCUCCAUGGUAUCUUGAUUGUAUUAUUGAUCCAAUUGCACAGCAGCUCUGAAUCCACUUCUAACUCAAUGUUUUUGUAGCCAUGUUGUUCACUCCAGUCCAGCCCAUAUAGUGCAGCCUUGAUCUCUACAAUAUUAUUAGUACCAAGACCUAGAGGUAAAGAAAAAGCAUAAACUAUUUUACCUUGAUGAUUUCUUAGUAUUCCACCUCCUCCAAUCUUACCUGAAUUCUGUAGGGCACUCCCAUCUGUGUUUAAUUUGUAAAUACCUAAGUCUGGCUUAUUCCAGCUUACCAUUACAAUUUUAUAUUGCUGUUGACAAUGCUCUAUUAUAUUCAUCAGAUUAUUCCAACUAGAUUGCCAUGGUAUAAUAGGAAAUACAGUUUUAAUAAUAUGCAUAACAUCCUUGAAUAUUCCAUACUGAACUCUAUGUAUGCUGGAACUUUUCUUCCCAUAUUUGACUGUACACCUGUUUUUCCAAAGAUUCCAACAAAUAAUAUUAGGUAUAAUAUGGAUGAAUAAUUUAUAUACCUCAUUAGUAGCUUGCUGAUUCCUCCAGUGUAGUAAUUGAUCUCUUAAAGUAGUAUUAACUGGCACUACUCCAACUGUGGAUGCAUGAAACUUCCAUAUGUAUUUAGCAAAGUUGCCAUUAAUCAAUAUGUGAUUAAUGUCAUCUUUGCCUUUACUGUGACAACAAUAACAAUCUGAAAUAUCUUUUCCAAAUUUCUGCAAAAUUUCAUUAGUAGGUAACUUACCUUUUAAAGCUCUCCAAAUAAAGAAGGAUAUUUUAAAAGGUAAGUGUUUAUGCCAUAUUAAGUUAUUAAUAGGGUCUAUAUGUCUCUUCUUUCUAAUACACUCCCAUGCAGAUGCAAUAGUAAAGUUACCAGAUUCAGUAGGCAUCCAACUUGCAGUAUCCUUUUUCCCAUCUUUAUAAUUGAAAUUAGUUUGCAAAAUCUUGGGUAUCAACAAAGAUGGAACAUGCUGUCUAAGUAAACUUUCAUUCCAUUUACCAUCCUUUAAGAAAUCAGCUACAACACUGUUGUUAAUACUAGAAAUAUGAUCACAAUGAUAGGCAAUAGAUUCAUUAUCUAACCAGUUAUCCCACCAAAAGCUGCUAUUACCUGAAUGAAUAUGCCAUUUAAUGAGAGAUUCCACCUUAGUUCUAUUUCUAGUAAGAUAUCUCCAGACUAUAGAAUCACCAGUGUCAUAUUUUUUGGCCACAGGAUUGGCUCUUUGACAAUACUUGGCUUUUAUAAAAAGACUCCACAAAGAGUUUUUGGUUCUAAAAUUCCACCACUGCUUAUAUUGAAAAGCAGUACAUAUAUCUUCAAGCCUUCUCACUCCAAUGCCUCCUUCCAUAAUAGGAUAAGCCAUAUUCUCCCAUGAAGACCAAUGGUAUUUCUUACCAUCUUUAUCUAUACCCCAAAAGAAAUCAGCCAUUACCUUUUUAAUACUAUUUAAAGUAGUUUUGGGAGGUGAAAUAGCAGCAAGUGUAUGAAUUGGAAUGGAUUGCAAUACAUGCUUCACUAAGGUAGUUUUGCCUCCAAAAUUUAACAUUUUUGAAUGCCAACCUGCAAUUUUUUUUAUCACCUUAUCAAUCAUCUCACAGUAAUAUAUAAUCCUUUGCCUACCAAUAUACAAAGGACAUCCAAGAUAAUUGAUAGGGCUGUAUUUUCUACUAAAACCAGUAGCGCUUUUGAUUUCCUCUAUGGUAUCUUGACUAGUAUUAGAGGUUACCAUAAAGAAACUUUUGAGUUUAUUUACUUUCUGAUCAGACACUUCUUCAUAUUCUUCAAUAGUCUUCAUAAUGAGAUUAAGAGAGUUACUAUCAGUAGAGGUAAAAAUAAUUAUAUCAUCAGCAAAGCUAAGAUGGUUAAUUUAGGGACCAUUGUUUUCCAUAUAAAAUCCUCUGUACAACUUAUUUUGGUAUAGAAGACUAAGCUGUCUUGAAAGAACUUCAGCACCUAAAAUAAAUAAUGCUGGAGACAAUGGAUCACCUUGUUUAAGUCCUCUCUUAGAAUGAAAAAAUCCAUGUCUCUUCCCAUUAAUGACUAUAGAGUACCAAUUAUUACUCAUAAUCCUCCACACUCUAUCAAUAAACAAUUCACUAAAUCCCAUUUUUCUUAACACAAUGCAAGUAUAAUUCCAUGAAACUCUAUCAUAUGCUUUCUCCAUGUCCAGUUUAAUGACUACAUUACUACCUUCUCUUGGUUUCUUAAUCCCAUGAAUAAUUUCCUGAGCCAACAAAAUGUUCUCAGAAAUGUUCCUUCCUUUGACAAAACCUGAUUGAGUUUCUGAAACAAUACAAGGUAAAAUGGAUGCCAAUCUAGUGCUCAUAAUCUUAGAGAUGAUUUUAUUGGAAAAAUUACUAAGGCUUAUAGGUCUGAACUCCUUAAUUUUACAGGGAUGGUCUACUUUAGGCAGUAAUAUGAGACAAGAGUGAGUCAUAUAUUUUGGCAUAGGGUUACCACUAUAAAAGUACUUAACAGCAGCCAACAGAUCAUUUUUUAUAAUACCAAAGCAACUUUGGUAAAAUUUUCCUCCAAAACCAUCCGGACCAGGUGCAGAAUUAGGAUUCAUACUCAUUAUGAUCUUUCUCAACUCAUCUUCAUUAGGCAGCCUAUCUAACUUCUUAUUUUGUUCUUGAGUGAUUGAAGUAUUGAUACACUGAAGAGUUUCUUCCUUAAUUUUCUCAUUCUUACCAGUAAAAAUCUCCUCAUAAUAAUCACAAGCAUGUCUGGCAAUCUGUUCUUCUCCAUUAAUCCAGUUCCCACUGUCAUCCAUCAACUUAUGAAUAGCCAUUCUAUUUCUUUUACCUCUAAUCAAAGCAUGAAAAUAUUUGGUGUUUGCAUCACCCUCUUUUAGCCAAUGUAACUUAGUUUUCUGCUGGAGAACAUUAUAUUCAACCUUCAAAAAUUUAAUAUAAUUAGCAUUCACAGCAUUCAACUUUUCUCUAUUUUCAACACAAUUAUUGAGGACCAUAUCAUUUUCAGCUUGUUUUACCAGCUCCUCAUAGUGUUUUACCCUUUCAAAAACAUCACCAUAUUCCUGUUUUGACCAAUUUCUCAAGGUAUUAGUUAAUCUCCUCAAUUUUGUAUGUAAAAUCCACAUAGGAUUUCCAGUGGCAGCUCUAUUCCAACAUUGUUCCACAGUUGAUAAAAAAGAAUCAUUUUCAGUCCAACAAUUCAGAAAUCUAAAAUAUUUAAUAAUGUUGGAUUGAAUAUCACCAAUUUCCAUUAAUAAAGGACUAUGAUCAGAUCCAAUUGAAGGAAGAUGAGUAAUACUAGAAUGAGGCAUUAUGUCAAUCCAUUUAUCAUUAGUCAUACCUCUAUCCAAUCUUUUCCAAAUUCUUGCACCAUCCCUCCUAUGAUUACACCAUGUAUAAUUUUGACCAUAAUAACCCAUGUCUACUAAUCCACAAGCCUCAAUAAUACUAAUAAAUUCCAAACUCUUGUUUAUGUUAUAAUCUCUACCACCCAGUUUCUCACUAGUAGAAGUUAUAACAUUAAAAUCCCCUAAUACACACCAAGGAUUCAUACUUUCAGAUCUCUUUAGCAUAACAUCCCAAAGAGGUUUUCUCAACUGAUCCUUACACUUAGCAUAAACAUAAGUCAUGUUGAAUUUCUCCCUGCAAGUUUCAUGUCUAACCUCACAAGUCACCUGUUGUUGAUCACUUUCCAGGAUAUCACAAGUAAUUUCAUUAGACCAAAAAAGCCAAAUUUUGUUAUUAGAAUUACUAUAACUAUGAUCCAUGAGUAAUUGAAGUCUGUAAGCAUCUAUAUGAUCAUAACUGGAAAAAGGUUCUAAAAUAGCCAUCAUAGAAAUAUUAUGAAGUUUUUUGAGAUUAAUCAGCCUCUCAAGAGCACCAAAAGUAUUGAUACUCCUAACAUUCCAACAUAAAAACUUAAUCAUUAAAUUCCUCUACUUCUAGCUCUAGUAUUAGGUUUACUAGUACUAGUAAGUUUAUUUUGCUUCACAAGCUUUCUUCCUCUAGGUGAUAGACCCUGUUUGCCAGUUACAUCUCUAAUUUCAUCUACAUUAGAAGGCUGUAACAUAGGAUCUUUUUGAAUUUGGUCAGAAGUGUUAAGUUCCUCUCCUGGUUCUAUACCCUCUCCUAAAGAUUGAGUAUCCACAUCAUACUCAUCUUCAGAAUCAGGCUCCCUAUACUCAUCAAAAUUACUUUGAUGAUCAGUAGGGACAUUACCAGAAGUAGAAGGAUUUUUAUUAUUAUUUUUUAAAUUAGUCUGUAGAAGAGGAUUAUGAAUAUUUUUAUCAGGGGGUUCUUUUGCAACAUUGCUACAUUCCCCAUAUUCAAAAACUUUAUCUUUGCCUUUAUCAAAUCUAGUAUGUUGAGACCUAUUAUCCACCUGACCUCUUCCAACCUCACCUCCAUCAGCUACUCCAAUAUUGUCACUACAAAGGGCUGCAGGGGAGGGGAGCAUUGAGUCAAUACCUGAUUUAUUAAUAUUUGCUUGAUGAUAAACCACUUGUUGAGUAUUAGUGGCCUGACUUUCCAACCUUGGUUGUUUAUUUCUUUUUUCCUGCUGUACAUGAGCUCUUUCUGAAUAUGCAUUACUUUGUUCAUGCACUUGAUCAUUGUGUUGCUCCAUUACUUCUCCAGCAGGUGUUAGUUCCUGUGAUUCAAGAUCAAUAUAGGUGUUUUUAGUAGGGAUAUUAAUUAUACCUGCUUGAAAUUGCUGUGCUUGGUGAACAGUCUUUUCAUUGUUGAAUCUAACUUGUUGAUUGUUAUUCUUUCUUCUUUGUGUUUGCCAUGUAUCUUGCAUACCAUGCUGCUGAGUUUCAUCACCUUGCUGUCUUGGUUGAUUGUAAUCUGGCUCAUUUCUACCAGUUUCCUUGUUCUGAUCAAUCUGUAAUUCUGCAUGGACAGUUUGAGCAAUGUCUUUCCUAUUCUUGUUUUUAUCUAACUCUUUUCUUUUUUUAUUUUCCUCAUCCCUUUGUUUUAUAAUACAGUCAGACUCCUUGUGACCUUGAUGUUUGCAAUAAAAACAGUAAUUUGGAAUACUAUCAUACUCAAUCUUUUGCCACCUCCCAUCAGUAAUAUCUUCACCUAUAUACCCCAUCCAAAUGUGAGGGGGUCUGUCCUUUGUUAAGUCCACUUGCACUUUAACUCUAGCUUGACUCCCUCUUGUUUUAUUAAUAGAGGCAGAAUCAAGAUACAAAACUCUACCUAUGGGUGAAAGAAGACUAGUAAUGAAUUGUUUAUUGUAACAAUGCCAUGGCAAUUCAGGCAAUGAAAUCCAUAUUGGAACUAGGGGUGUUUCUUCCUCAGGUGUAAAAUUAGGUGUCCAGGCUUGGAUUCUCAUUACUUGACCUGCUAUAGUCAUUCUUUGUUUAGUCCAUACCAUAUUAUAGUCUAAUUCAUUAUCAAGAUCAAUGUAGACAUGUCUUGAAUUAAAGUGAGCUAUUUUAACUCCCCCAGACAAUUGAGUUUGUAAUAUAAAAUUUUUCCUAAUUAACUCAAUUCUAGGCAUGGUAUAGAUGAAUUUUCCUAUCAAAGUGAAUUUACAGGUAGCAGCUAGGUUUUUAACUACUUCUUCCUUAACAUAUAACACAGCUGGGAGUCCUUGCUUAGUAGUAAUCUCAGGUUCAGUAAGCUUAAUGCUCUCCCCUUUCUUGGAUUGAUUAUAUCUAAGUCUAUCAGCAUAUGUUUGAAUGACAGUAUAAGGGGCAGGUUCAGGUAUUUGGUCCUUCUUAUUGAAAGUGUUAGUUUCUGAAGAAGGAUCAUGAUUUGCAUUCUUAGUUCGAGGUAAAGGUCUAUCAAAAUUACUAGACACUUUAGGAAAAUUUUGUUGAUAAUCAAGAUUUCUAACAGAAUCAAUGUUAAUUCUAUCAGUAAUAUUCACCAAGCUAUCAUUCUUGGAGUUGAAAUUGGUAGAAACUAGAUUACCUUGCCCAUUAUUAGCUCUAACAGGAAUUUCAGAAGAAGGCAUACCAGAUUGACGAAUUUGAUAAGGAUGAACAGCAUCCUUAGAAGCAAGAAUUCGUGUAGUCCUUGGAUUUUGUUGUUCCAUAUCUUUUUCUUUAUUGAAAUUGAAAUUUCUUUGUUGAUUUGUAACAGAUCGAUUCACCUGUUGAUGUUGACCAUCACUAAAUUGUUGUUCCCUUCCUUGCGAAUCGAUCUUCUCACCUCCCAGUCGUAAAUCAACUAAUCUAUCAUCUUUUGCUCCACCAAUCUGUUGAAUAUGUGAAUCGCGACCUAGAUUGUGCGAUUCUUGUCGAUUAUCAUACGAAUGAACUGGUGUUGAGCUCGAUUUUGCCGCCGCUGCUUGCGAUGCAAUUUUUCCAUCGCCCAUCUGUUCUUCGCCACUUUCAAUUGCGCCUUCUUUACGAUUAAGAUUGUAAUCUUUUUCAGUGUUGUGACGCGAAGCAUCGAUGUCAGCCUCUAUCGUCGCUACCUGGAUCGCUUCUUCCUUCCUUUGCGACGAGGAAGACGAUGCAGAAUCCGUCACUUCGUGGAUUUGCGAAUGAAUUGUUGGAUUUCCAGUUUCUAUCGGAGGAUCUGGUGGCUUAACACGCUCAUCCACUGGAUUUCCAUCCAUUACAACUCACAAUUUUCCAGGAAAUUAGCUGAUUAACUAAUUCUUACGAUGAACACCUUGCAAAAUUUUUAGAGAGAGAAAAUUUUUUUAGAGAGAGAAAAUUUUUAGAGAGAGAAAAUUUCCGUGAAAUGAGAAAGCGAUAGGGUUUAGGUUUAGGGUUUAGGGUUUAGGGUUUAGGGUUUAGGGUUUAGGGUUUUUUUUUUAUAAAACGACCCUUGGAGUGGGUCAGGGGCUUAGCAUCACCCCCAGGCCUUAUCAUUUCAUGAAAAUCAAAAUUACAAGAAGGGGGACUAGACCUUACCUUCUAUGAUUUGGUAGGUAUGUAUUGAUACAUCUACUAAGAUAUAUCAAUAUAACCUUAUACAAUAAGAUGCCUAGCUAUGGAAAUAAAUCCUAAGAAAGCUUAAAUUAGGGAGACUCUCCCUUUUACAAGAUUGGAAAUGAAAUAGUAAACUUAUAUUGCUAACACAGUCAAUAAAAGUUUAAUGUCAAUUGUAAUAUUACACAUAUGAAUAUGAAAACACUAAGGAGGAUGUUUAAUUCUCUUGAGCUUCCUUCUUCUAAAAUUUUGUAUGCCCAUCUUUUCCAACACAUAACUUCCUCUAAUUGUUCCUUGGAGUUGUCUUAUUGUAUAGAAAUGUUGAGGUAUUUCCAAAUUGUGACUCCAUUUGGAUAACAUAUCAGCUGUACAGUUUGCUUCUCUAAAUAUAUGAUGACAUUGAAAAUGAUCCAUUUUCCUAGCUAUCUGUUGAAUUUGUUGGACAGUUUCAGCACAUCUCCAAGGUAUAUUGAUUGUGUUGUUGAUCCAUUGACAUAGUAACUCUGAAUCUACUUCCAACUCUAUUUUUUUGUAGCCAUGUUGCUCACACCAACUCAGCCCAUAUAGUGCAGCCUUAAUCUCUGCAAUAUUGUUAGUACCAAUGCCAAAUGGUAAAGAAAAAGCAAAAAUUAUUUUACCUUGAUAAUUCCUUAGAAUUCCUCCUCCUCCAAUCUGUCCUGAACUAUGCAAACAACUACCAUCUGUAUUGAGUUUAUAAUUAUCUAUACCUGGUUUAGUCCAGCUUACCAUGAUUAUCUUGUAUUGUUGUUGACAUUGCUCUAUUAGAUUGAUCAAAUUGCUCCAACUAGAUUGCCAUGGUAUGGUAGGAAAAACUGUUUUGAUAACCUGCAUCACAUCUUUAAAUAUGCCAUAUUUCACUUUGUAUAUGCUUGACUUCUUCCUUCCAUACUUGACAGAACACCUGUUCUUCCAUAGAUUCCAACAAAUGAGAAUAGGUAAAAUAUGUAAAAGAAGUUUGUGUACCUCAUUUUUUGAUUGCAGAUUUUUCCAUUGCAGUAAGUGAUGUUUCAAGGUAGUAUGAGCUGGAAUUACUCCAACUGUUGAUGCAUGAAUCCUCCAAAUAUAUUUGGCAAAUGUGCCAUUAAUAAGUAUGUGGUUAAUAUCAUCUUUACCUUUAUUAUAGCAACAAUAACAAUCAGAUAUCUCAAGACCCAACCUCUGUAGGAUUUCAUUAGUGGGCAAUUUACCUUUUAAAGCUCUCCAAAUAAAGAAAGUUAUUUUAAAAGGUAGGUGUUUAUGCCAUAUAAAAUUAUUUAUAGGAUCAGUGUUUCUUUUCUUUCUAAUGUUUUCCCAUGCAGAUGCAAUAGUAAAGUUGCCAGACUCAACAGGAAUCCAUAUAGCAGUGUCUUUUUGCCUUGGUUUAAAAUUGAUAGUUGUUUGAAGAAUAUUAGGUAUCAACCAAGGGGGUACAUGUUGUCUCAAUAAUCUUUCAUUCCAUUGCCCAUUUAUUAAGAAAUCAGCUAUAAUACUGUUAUUUAAACUAGAUAUAUGAUCACAUUGAUUGGCAAGAGUUUCAAUAUCCAACCAAUUGUCCCACCAGAAGCUUGAAUUACCAGAAUUGAUAUGCCAUUUAAUAAGAGGUUCUACCUUGUGUCUAUUUCUUGUUAAAUAUCUCCAUACUAAAGAAUCCCCAGUAUCAUAUUUUUUAGCCACAGGAUUGGCUCUUUGACAGUAUUUGGCUUUCAAAAAUUGACUCCACAAGGAAUUUUUGGUUCUAAACUCCCACCAUUGCUUAUAUUGAAAGGCAGUACAGAUUUCUUCAAGUGAUCUUACACCAAUACCUCCUUCAUUAGUUGGAUAUGUCAUAUUUUCCCAUGAAGACCAAUGGUAUUUCUUUCCAUCUUUGUCUAUCCCCCAAAAGAAAUCAGCCAUAAUUUUUGUAAUACAGUUUAAAGUUGUUUUUGGAGGAGAAAUAGCAGCAAGUGUAUGAAUAGGGAUAGAUUGUAAUACAUGCUUCACCAAAGUAAUUUUGCCUCCAAAAUUUAGAAUUUUGGAAUGCCAACCAGCAAUUCUUUUGAUCACCUUUUCAACAACCUCAGAGUAAUAGAUAACUCUUUGUCCUCCAAAAUAUAGAGGGCAUCCAAGAUAGUUAAUAGGGCUAUUCUUCCUACCAAAUCCAGUAAUCCUCUUUAUUUCAUCUAUAAUAGCUGAAUUAGUUUUAGGUGUUACCAUAAAGAAACUUUUUUCCUUAUUUACAUUUUGAUCAGAAACUUCCUCAUACUGUUCAAUAAUCUUCAUUACAUGAUGAAGAGAAUAAUUAUCAGUAGAGGUAAAAAUGAUUAUAUCAUCUGCAAAACUAAGAUGAUUAAUUCUAGGACCAUUAAUCUCCAUAUGGAACCCUCUAUAUAACUGAUUUUGGUGAAGUAGAUUGAGUUGUCUUGAAAGGACUUCAGCACCUAGGAUAAAUAAUGCUGGAGAUAGUGGAUCACCCUGUUUAAGCCCCCUCUUAGAUUUGAAAAAACCAUGCCUCUUGCCAUUAAUAACAAUAGAGUACCAAUUAUUACUCAUAAUCCUCCAAACUCUAUCAAUGAACACUUCACUAAAUCCCAUUUUUCUCAAAACAAGGCAAGUAUAGGUCCAUGAAACUCUAUCAUAGGCUUUACUCAUGUCCAGCUUAAUGACUAUAUUACUACCUUCUCUAGGUUUUUUAAUACCAUGGAUAAUCUCCUGAGCCAACAGGAUGUUCUCAGAGAUGCUUCUACCUUUGACAAAACCUGAUUGGUUUUCAGAUACUAUACUAGGUAGGAUGGCUGCCAAUCUAGUACUAAAGAUCUUAGAGAUGAUCUUAUUGGUGAAGUUACUAAGACUGAUAGGUCUGUAAUCUUUGAGUCUGCAGGGGUGAUCAAUCUUAGGUAGAAGGAUUAGACAAGCAUGAGUCAUAUAUUUAGGCAUAAUAUUACCACUAAAAAAAUAUCUAACAGCAGCCAACAGAUCUUCUUUAAUAAUAUCAAAGCAUACUUGAAAGAAUCUUCCACCAAAACCAUCAGGACCAGGGGCUGAAUUAGGAUUCAUACUCAUAAUGAUCCUUUUCAAUUCAUCCUCAUCAGGUAAUCUGUCUAAUGAUUCAUUUUGUUCAUGAGUGAUACCUUUAUUAAGACACUGGAGAUACUCUUCAUUAAUCUUAUCAGAAUUUCCAUUAAAAAUCUCCUCAUAAUAAUCACAAGCCAUUUUAGCAAUAUUGUCUUCCCCUUGGAUCCAAGCUCCACUAUCUUCCAUCAUUUUGUGUAUAGCCAUUCUAUUUCUUUUACCUCUAAUCACAGCAUGAAAAUAUUUGGUAUUUGCAUCCCCCUCCUUUAGCCAGUGCAUUUGAGUUUUCUGCUGUAAAAUAUUAUAUUCAAGCUUCAAAUACUUAAUGUAAUUAGCAUUGACAGCUUUCAAUCUCUCCCUAUUUGCAGAAUUAUUAUUAAUAACCAGAUUAUUUUCAGCCUCCUUUACCAAUUCCUCAUACUUCUUCACCUUAUCAAAUAUAUCCCCAUACUCAUGUUUUGACCAUUCUCUCAAUGUUCUAGUUAACCUCUUCAUCUUUGUAUGUAAACUCCACAUAGGAUUACCACUCACAGCUCUUUUCCAGCACUCUUCCACAAUAGAUAAGAAUGAAACAUUCUCAGUCCAACAAUUCAAAAAUUUAAAAUAUUUGGUAAUAUUAGUCUGUGCAUUACUAAUUUCCAACAAUAAAGGACUGUGAUCUGAUCCUAUAGAUGGAAGAUGAGUAAUGCUAGAAUGGGGCAUUGUUUCAAUCCAUUUGUCAUUUGUCAUACCCCUGUCCAAUCUUUUCCAGAUUCUUGCACCAUCCUUCCUAUGGUUGCACCAAGUAUAGUUUUGACCAUGAUAUCCCAUAUCCAAUAAACCACAAGCCUCAAUAAUGCUAAUAAAUUCCAGACUCUUUUUGAUAUUAUAAUCUCUACCUCCCAAUUUCUCAUUGACUGAGGUUAUCACAUUGAAAUCUCCUAAAAGACACCAAGGGUAAGAAGUUACAGACCAUCUUAACAUAACAUCCCAAAGAGGUUUCCUCAAAUGAUCCUUACACUUAGCAUAAACAUAAGUCAUAAGGAAUUUGUCACUACAAUUAACAUGGCUAACCUCACAAGUCACCUGUUGUUGAUCACUAUCCAUUAUAGUACAAGUAACUUCAUUAGACCAAAAAAGCCAAAUUUUAUUAUUGAUAUUACUGUAGCUAUGAUUCAUUAGUAAUUUCAUUUUGAAAUAAUCAAUAUGAGAUUGAUUUGAAAAAGGUUCUAAAACAGCCAACAUAGAAAGAUUAUGGAGCCUCCUCAAAUUAAUCAAUCUUUCAAGAGCACCAAAAGUAGUGAUGCUCCUAACAUUCCAACAAAGCAUCUUAAUCAUCAAAAUCCUCUACUUCUAGCUCUAGUAUUAGGUUUAUUCAUGCUAGUAUUUUGAUUAGAUUUAAGUAAUUUUCUACCUCUUGGAGAGAGCCCUUGUUUAGCUGUAACAUCUCUAAUUUCAUCAACAUUAGAGGUGUUUAAUAGGGUUCUUUUGUGAAUUUGAUGAGAUGAACCUAUGUCUUCCCUUGGCUCCCUACCUUCCCUUAAGAAUUGAGUAUCAGAAUCAUACUCUUCCUCAAAAUCAGGUUCUUUAUACUCAUUAAGAUUAUCUCUAUGAUGAAUAUUAGGAAUAUUACCAAUGUUAUCAACAUUCUUAUUAUGAUGUUGAGAUGGAUCAUUAAUAUUGAUUUUAUCAGGGGGUACUUUAUCAUUCAAUGAUCCCAGUUCAUCAAUUUUACCUUUUCCUUUAUCAAGUCUAGAUUGAAUUAAUCUAUGUGUCUCCUGACAUUCACCUUCCACACCUCCAACAGCUACACCAGUAGUAUCAGAACCAGUAGUAAUAGUAAGGGGUGCAGGGGAAUGGAUCCUUGAGUCAAUACCUGGGCUGGUUAUUUUUUCCUGUUGGUAACCAGUUUGAUCCUUCCUUUGUUGAUUUGGAUUUUUCCUUCUUUGUGUGUGCCAUUCAUCUUGUCCCAACAGUUGUUGAUUAUCAUGUGUUGAUUGUGUUUGUUGGAUAUGAACUUUCUCCCUUAUACCUGGUUCCAUAACCUGGAAAGAUUGUGAUACUUCAUUGCUAUUGUAAAUAUUACCCUGUCUGUCUUUGUUUCUUUCCAACUCUUUUUUCCUUGUAUUCUCAGCAUCCCUUUGCUUAACAAUGCAAUCAGAUUCCUUAUGCCCUUGAUGCUUACAAUAAAAACAGUAGUUGGGUAUGCUAUCAUAAUCUAUUUUUUGCCAUCUACCAUCAGUUAUGUCCUCUCCUAUAUAUCCCAUCCAAAUAUGGGAUGGCCUAUCCUUGGUUAAGUCCACUUGUACUUUCACUCUUGCUUGACUGCCUUUAGUUUUGUUAAUGGAUGCAGAAUCCAAGUAUAAGACUCUCCCAAUGGGUGAUAAGAGGCUAGUUAUGAAUUCCUUGUUGUAGCAAUGCCAAGGUAAUUCUGGUAGUGAUAUCCAUAUAGGAACAAGAGGGGUUUCUUCAUCAGGUGUAAAUGUUGGAGUCCAAGCUUGGAUUCUCAUGACUUGUCCAGCAAUUGUCAUACGUUGUUUUGUCCAAACCAUAUUGUAAUCCAACUCAUUAUCAAGAUCAAUAUACACAUGUCUAGAAUUGAAAUGAGCAAUUUUAACCCCCCCAGACAGCUGAGUUUGGAGAAUAAAAUUUUUCCUAAUGAGUUCUAAUCUAGGCAUAGUAUAUAUGAAUUUUCCUAUCAAGGUGAAUUUACAGGUAGAUGCCAAAUCUUUUAAUACUUCAUCUUUCACAUACAACACUGCUGGCAAUCCUUGUUUAGUGGUGAUCUCAGGCUCACUCAAGUUGAUACUCACCCCUUUCCUAGACUGAUUAAACCUCAAUCUAUCAGCAUAAGUCUGAACCACAGUGUAGGGUGCAGGCUCUUUAAUUUGAUCUUUCUUGGGAAAUUUAUCACUAGGCCCUGAAGGAAAUUCACUUCUAUCAACUAAAUUUCGAUGAACAGGGUUAUCAAAAUUGGAAGAAAUCUUGGGAAAGUUAGUUUGAUAAUUGUGUUGCCUGGUAGAUUCCCUAUUAAUUCUGUCUAUUUUUUGCAAAUUAGUAACAGGAUUAAGAGUAAUAUUGGGAAGACUAAUGUUACCUUGAUUCAUAUUCUGUGUAUUCAAAGUAACAUCGCUACUUCGCAAUUGACGACCAUUAUCGAUCUCACCUGAAUUUCUUGUAGCUAUGUUUGCUAAUUGUUGAUUUUGUUGAUACCUGUCUGCGUUAAUGUUCAAUUCAGAGCUAUGUUGUUGUGAUUGACUCGAAGGAUUACCCUGUUGAUAAACCUCGCGAUUACCCUGUUCUUGACGAUUUCUCUGCGAUUUCAUCAGAUCAUCUUCCAUGAGAGAUUCACUGUUUCGACCACCAAUUUCUUCCCCAAUUUGUGGAUUACGAGUAUCGAGAUUAAGUGACAAAUCCCCAGUACUUGAUUCUUGUCGAUUUUCAUCCAGUAACCCUUUUGGAGAAUGCGAUUUCUCCAUAUCUCUCGACUGCGAAUCUACCUUUCCGAUUUCGAUCUGUUCUUCCACCCUUUCGCCCACUUUUCCACUCAAAUUUCGAUUCUUUACAGCAUGACGACGCAUUUCAUCCAUGUCUUCCUCUAUAGUCGCAACUUGGAUCGCCUCUUCCCUCAAGCGCGAAGAGGAGGACGAUGAUCCAUCCGCCAUUUCAUUAUUUUUCGAUUGAACUGUCGAUUCCUCCACUCCAAUCGGCGGAUCUGGAGGUCGAAAUCGUUCAUCCACCAUUCAAACACGUUUUGCUGCUCAAAUUCUUUGAUUAACAGCGAUGAACACCAGGAAUCGUGAAAAAUUUCUAGAGAGAGAAAAUUUUUUAGAGAGAGAAAAUUUUUAGAGAGAGAAAAAAUUUGAGAAAUGAAAAAGUGAUGGGGUUUAGGGUUUAGGGUUUAGGGUUUUGGGUUUAGGAUUUAGGGUUUGGGUUUAGGGUUUGGGGUUUAGGGUUUAGGGUUUAGGGUUUAGGGUUUAGGGUUUGGGUUUAGGGUUUAGGGUUUGGGUUUAGGGUUUAGGGUUUAGGGUAUAGGGUUUAGGGUUUAGGGUUUAGGGUUUAGGGUUUAGGGUUUGGGGUUUGGGGUUUAGGGUUUAGGAUUUUUUUUUUUAUUAACGACCCUUGAGGUGGGUAGGGGCUAAGCAUCACCCCCAGGCCUUAACAUUUAUAUAAGAAAAAGAUACAUGGAGGGGGACAUUGAACCUUACCUCCUUCCUAAGUUGAGUUAAUUGAAUUACCUACUAAGGUUAUCAAUUAACUCAUUACAUUUGUUGUAUUCUAAAACAAAGCACCUAGAGAUACCUCUCAAAAUUACUAAGUUCUAGAAAAACUUAAACAAGGGAGACUCUCCCUUUACAAGUUAUGAUAAAAGAGAUAACCUACUUUAUUAACAUAUAAAAUAGAUUUUAAGUCAAUGAAAUUGAUUGAACAAAUACAAGAUUGUCAUGGAGGAUGUUUAAUCCUCUUGAUCUUCCUUCUUCUAAAUAGUUGCAUGCCCAUUUUGUCUAGUAUGUAAUUUCCUUUAAUAGCACCUCUAAGCUGCUGAGGGGUGUAAAAAUGUUGAAUUAUAUCCAUCUUGUGACUCCCUUUUGCUAGUAAGUCAGCCGUGGCAUUUGCCUCUCUAUAAAUAUGUUGGCACUGAAAAUAUUCCAUGUUCUUGCUUAUGUCUUGAAGCUGCUGAAUGUCUUGUUGACUUCUCCAUGGAAUGUACUGUGUGUUGUUGAUCCAUUUGACCAGUAGUUCAGAAUCUACUUCCAAUAUGAGCCUCUUGAAUCCAUGUUGUUGACACCAAUUUAAUCCAUAAAGAGCAGCUUGUAUUUCUGCAAAAUUAUUAGUACCAAAAGCCAAAGGAAUAGAAAAAGCAUAAAUAAGUUUACCUUGAUCAUCUCUAAGUAUACCUCCACCACCUGUUUGACCUGUAUUGUGGAUGGCACUGCCAUCAGUAUUAAGUUUAUAGAUACCUGAGGGUGGCCUGUUCCAUCUCACUAAGGUUAUUUUAAAAUAUUGUUGACAUUGAUCAACAUAUUGAAGAAGCCUCUCCCAACUGUUGAACCAUGGUAUAGUUGGAUAUACAGAUUGAAUGAUCUGCAUACUAUCUUUAAAGAUAGCUAAUUCUACUCUUGAAAUGUUUGAUUGUUUACCUCCAUACUUAACUGAACACCUGUUUUUCCACAAGUUCCAACAAAUAAUGUUGGGUAAAAUGAUAAAAAGAAGUUUUUGUACCUCAUUACUAGUUUGUAGAUUUUUCCAUUGAAGUAACAGACUUCUGAUAGAAGUACUGUCAAUUACUAAUCCCACUCUUUCUGAGUGACACUUCCAAAUAUAUUUAGCAAAAUUACCAGUAAUAAGAAUAUGAUUUAAAUCAUCUUUGCCCUUCCUAUAACAACAAUAACAGUCUUCCUCUUCUUUUCCAAAUCUAAUCAGACUAUCAUUGGUAGGUAGUUUAUUCCUCAAAGCUCUCCACAUAAAGAAGGAAAUUUUAAAAGGAACAUUUCUAUGCCAGAUACUAUUAUUAAUUAUAUCAGGUUCUUUUUUCUUCCUUAUACUCUCCCAUGCAGAUGAAAUUGAAAAUUGACCAUUAUCUUCUAAUCUCCAAUAAGCUAAAUCAGAAAUACCCUCUUUAAGUUGUAAUCUAUAAGUUAGAAUCAUUGGAACAAGAGGUGGAGGAAUAUGUUGCCUUAUAACAGACUCAUUCCACUUUCCAUCUUCAAUGAAAUCUAAUAGCUGAGUAUUAUUUAGACUGGAAAUAUAGUCACAAUAGGUUGCUAUUGCACCAUCUCCAAGCCAAUUAUCCCACCAAACACUGCAGUUACCAGACUUUAUAUUCCAUGAAAUAUACCUUUCCACAUCAUAUCUGUUUCUGGUAAGAUACCUCCAGACCAAGGAAUCCCCUGUAUCAUAUUUCUUUGCCACUACAUUAGACCUUUGACAGUAUUUUGCCUUCAAAAAACAACUCCACAAAGUCUUUUUAGUUCUAAAUUCCCACCAGUGUUUGUAUUGAAAAGCAGUGCAUAUAUCUUCUAAUAAUCUAACUCCAAUACCACCCUCUAUAUAAGGAAAAGCUAAACUCUCCCAUGAUGCCCAAUGAUACUGUUUUUUAUCCCUAUUAGUGCCCCAGAAGAAGUCAGCUAUAACUCUUCUAAUAUAUCUAAGAGUAGUUUUAGGUGGUGAAACAGCAGCCAAUGUAUGAAUAGGUAUAGACUGCAAAACAUGCUUGACCAAAGUAAUUUUACCACCAAAAUUCAAAAUUUUAGUAUGCCAACCUUUAAUUUUUUUAAUGAUUUUAUCCACCAAUUCAGAAUAGUAAAUUAUUCUUUGUCCUCCAAUAUACAAAGGACAACCUAAAUACAUAAUAGGGCUAUGCUUCCUUCUAAAACCAGUUUCCUCAUUGAUGACUUCAAUAACACUCUGAUUAGUAUUAUUAGUAACCAUAUAGAAGCUCUUUUCCUUAUUCACUUUCUGAUUAGAUACUUUCUCAUAUUCAGCAAUAGUUUCCAUAAUUAGUUGGAGAGAAUUUCUGUUUGUGGAGGUGAAUAUUAUUAUAUCAUCAGCAAAACUUAAAUGGUUAAUCUGUGGUCCUCUCUUCUCCAUAUAGAAACCCCUAUAAUCCUGAUUCUGAUAAAGAUUGUUCAGCUGUCUAGAUAAUACCUCAGCUCCCAAAAUAAAUAGGGCUGGUGAUAAGGGAUCUCCUUGUUUAAGACCUCUAGAAGAAUGGAAAAAACCAUGUCUUUUUCCAUUGAUAACAAUGGAAUACCAAUUAUUACUCAUAAUUCUCCAAGUUCUGUCUAUAAACAAUUCACCAAAGCCUAAUUUUCUCAAAACUAAACAAGUGUAAGCCCAAGAAACUCUAUCAUAAGCUUUAACCAUAUCAAGUUUAAUAACCACAUUAUCUCCUUCAUGAGGCAAGUUAAUUCUAUGGAUAAUUUCUUGUGCCAGCAUUAUAUUUUCAGAAAUACUCCUUCCUUUUACAAAGCCUGACUGGUUUUUAGAAAUAAUACUAGGUAAAAUAGGUGCCAGUCUAGUACUCAUAAUCUUAGAAAUGAUCUUGUUAGUAAAGUUGCUUAGACUAAUAGGUCUAAAGUCUUUUAGCUUAUUAGGAUAUUCAACUUUAGGGAUCAACACCAAACAAGCAUGAGUCAUAUACUUAGGCAUGUCAAAACCAUUGAAAAAGUGUUGAACAGCAGCCAAAAGAUCAUCUUUUAUUAUAUCAAAACAUACCUGAAAAAAUUUCCCCCCUAUACCAUCUGGUCCUGGUGCAGAAUUGGGAUUCAUAUUCAUUAUCACAUUCUUCAAUUCAUCUAUAUUAGGCAUCUGUUCCAGCUUAAUAUUUUGUUCAUCAGUAAUGAUUCUACUAAUACACUGAAGACUAUCCUCAUUAAUAACCUCAUUUUUGCCAGUGAAAAUUUGUUUAUAGUAAUCACAAGCAGUUUUAACAAUAUUCUCUUCCCCUUGUAUCCAUUCACCAUUCUCAGACUCAAGCUUAGUAAUACACAUUCUUUUUCUUCUACCUCUCAUAAUAGUAUGAAAAUAUUUGGAGUUGGUAUCACCUUCCUUUAACCAAUGAAUCUGUGUUUUUUGUUGCAUAAUGUCAUAUUCUAAUUUCAUGUAUCUAAUGUACUGAGCAUUUAAGGCCUGCAGUUUCUCUCUAUUUUCCUGAUUAUUUUCCUGAAUAAUAUUCUCCUCAGCAAGUUUAACCAUCUCUUCAAACUGUUUGACUUUGAUGAAAACAUCCCCAAAUUCUUUUUUGGACCAAUUCCUCAAAAUAACAGUAAGUCUCUUCAUUUUAGUAUGUAAUAUCCACAUAGGACUACCUACCACCUUUUUAUUCCAACAAUUUUCCACAGUUGAGUAAAAAGUCUCAUGCUCAGUCCAACAGUUAAGGAAUUUAAAAUAUUUUAUAGCAUUUUCCUUAUCAUUCUUCAUCUCCAUUAAUAAUGGACAGUGAUCAGAACCCACAGAAGGCAAAUGAGUGAUAGAAGUGUUAGGCAUAAUCCUUAACCAAUUAUCAUUGACCAAUCCUCUAUCCAAUCUUUUCCAUAUUCUAGCAUCACCCUUCCUAUGAUUACACCAUGUGAAAGGCUGACCACUAUAUCCUAAAUCAAUUAAACCACAUGAUUCUAUUAUGUUGAUGAAAUCAAAACUUUUAUUGAUAUUAUAGUCUCUUCCACCCAAUUUUUCAUCAGUGGAGAUAUCACAUUAAAGUCUCCAAUGAUGCACCAAGGUAUAUCCACAUCAGACCAUUGGAUUAACCUAUCCCAAAGAGGUUUUCUCAGAUGUUCCUUACACUUUGCAUAAACACAGGUAAGUAGAAACUUAUCACUACAUUCUUCAUGAUAAACUUCACAAUUGAUAAGUUGUUCAUCCAUGUCAAUUACUUUACAAUUCAUAUCAUUAGACCAAAAAAGCCAUAUUUUAUUAUUAGAAUUACUAUAACAGAAAUCCAUCAACAAUUUCAAUCUAUAAGCUUCCAACUGAGAACUAUUAGCAAAAGGCUCAAGAAUAGCAAUCAUAGUGAGCUUGUGAAUUUUCUUUAAGUUGAUUAAUCUUUCAAGAGCACCAAAUGUAUUAAUGCUCCUAGCAUUCCAACAUAUGAGACUAAUCAUUAAACACCUCUACUUCUAGCUCUAGUAUUAGGUUUACUAAAACUAGCAGUCUUGUUUUGUCUAGAAACUUUCCUACCCCUAGGAGACAAGCCCUGUUUGCCAGUCACCUCUCUAACUUCCUCAAAGUUAGUAUUAGGAAGCAUGGGGCCAUGUUGAGCUUGUUUUGAGGUUAUUUCUUCCCCAGUAUUAGUGCCUUCAUCUAAGGAUUGAGUAUCUAAAUCAUCCUCAUCCUCAGAAUUCAGAACACCAUAUUCAUCAAUAUGAUCCUCACUAGUCUUUUGACCAGUGUCAAUUAGAGUAGUAUUUUUGUUAGUUUUAGAUUUAUUAAUCUUAUCUUUAUCAGGGGGUUCUCUAUCAUCCCUUAUCAGAAACCCCUGAUCAUCUACUUUUUCUUUUCCUUUAUUAAGUCUAUCAAUGUGCAACCUUUUAGAACCCUGACAAUCACCAGCCUCACCUCCAACAGCUACACCAGCAUGAGUAGUAAUAGUAAGGGGAAUGGGGGUAGAUCUAUUAAACUCAAUACCUGUAAUAUUAGUAGAAUCAUGUUGAUUCCCACCUUGAAUUAAUAUAUUGCCUUGAUCAGCUCUUCUUUGUUGAACACUGUUAUCCUUUUUAUGAUUAUUUCUUCCUGCUCUGUCAUUAUGCAUUGUAUUUUCCUGAUGAGCCCUGUUUAUACCUGUCUUCUGCUGUAGCCUUUGAUCUUGAGUGUCAAAAAUUUGUUCCUCCCCUUCAUCCUCAGAUGGACUAGUACCCUGCAACUCUAAAUCAAUGUAAGUAUUUUUUGUUAUAACAGGAAACUGACCUUGUUGAUUGUGAUGUUGUUGUUUUUGUCUAUCCAUAUUUCUAUUAGAGGUUCUAUCAGCAUCCCUUCUUCCCUGUUGAUUAUUAUUCCUUCUUUUUGGGUUUGCCAUUUCUCUUGAUUGAAUAGCUGUUGAUUAUCAACAUGUUGAUAUUGUUGAUCAUGUUCAACCUCAAUUCUACCUAUAUCAUUAUCCUUAGCACUCUGCAACUCUGUAUUGACAUUGUGAGCAGAAUCUUUUCUAUUCCUAUUUUUUUCCUGUUCUUGUCUUUUUUAUUUUCCUCCUCUCUUUGUUUAACUAUACAAUUAGACUCCUUAUGGCCUUGAUGUUUGCAGUAAAAACAAUAGUCAGGAAUACUAUCAUAUUCAAUCUUUUGCCACCUCCCAUCAGUAAUGUCUUCUCCCUUAUAACCCAUCCAUAUGUGAGGUGGUCUUUCUUUAGUUAAAUCCACCUGAACUUUAACUCUUGCUUGACUACCUCUUGUUUUAUUAAUAGAUGUUGAAUCAAGGUAAAGGACUCUACCAACAGGGGCUAACAAGCAGGUGAUGAAUUCCUUAUUGUAACAGUGCCAUGGUAACUCAGGUAAUGAAAUCCAAAUUGGUACAAGAGGUGUCUCUUCUUCUGGUUUAAAAGAAGGAGUCCAGGCCUGUAUUCUCAUUAUUUGACCAGCUAUAGACAUUCUUUGUUUAGUCCAAACCAUAUUGUAGUCUAGUUCAUUAUCUAGAUCAAUAUACACAUGUCUUGAAUUAAAAUGUGCUAUUUUCACACCUCCAGAAAGUUGAGUUUGGAGUAUGAAAUUCUUUCUAAUUAACUCUACUCUAGGCAUGGUGUAUAUGAACUUACCAAUAAGAGUAUACUUACAAGUCGAUGCUAAAUCUUUGACAAUCUCAUCCUUAACAUACAGAACAGCUGGUAAUCCUUGUUUAGUAGUUAUUUCAGGUUCACUUAAUUUGAUACUAACUCCUUUCUUAGAUUGAUUAUAUCUCAGCCUAUCAGCAUAGGUUUGAAUGAUAGUAUAGGGGGCAGGUUCAGGUGUUUGAUUCUUCUUAGGAAAAUUGUUAGAAUUGCCUAUAGGAUAAUCAUUUUUCUCAGGUAAAUUUCUAGUGACAUUACGAUCGUAAUUACUAGUAAUUUUAGGAAAAUUAGCCUGAUAUUCCUGAUUUCUAACUGUUUCUUUACCAGUUCUAUCAUUUUCCUUCAAUCUAUUAUCAGAAUUGUGAAGAGCAUGCAUGGAAGACUGAUUACCUUGAAUUUGUUCAGGAAUAGGAGUUAAACCACGCGAAUACUCACCUGCUUCCUUGUAUUUGGAGAAUUGAAUUUCAUCUACCUGAGUUCUUAGUGUGUUCAUUGUAACUCGUUGCGAAGGAUGAACUUCAUCUUGUAAACUAGGGUUUCUUGUAUUUGGAAUCAUAGUUUGUUGAUAGCUUCUGGUUCCUUGUUCAAUUGGCUAUUGUUUAUUGUUCGAUUACUCAAAUGUUGCCCCUCCAUAUUUCCUUGUUCAUGAAUGUUCAACUGCGAUUUCCCCAUGUAACCGUCGUGGUCGCGAUUCUACCAGUUCUCCUUCUCGCUGCGACUCAAUAUUUCGAUCCUUUUUAUCUCUCCCAAGUUGUUGAGUAUGUGGAUCUGUAGUAUGAGAUAGUUUUCUUCAGUACCAGAUUUUUGUCGAUUGCUACCCGAUAACCUGGGUGAGAACUCGAUUUCGCCGCCAUCGCUUGCGAUCUCAUCACUUCCGUCGCCUGCGAUUCUACUCUUCCCGAACCUCGUUUGUUUUUCCCCCAUUACGUUCGUUUUUGACUCGUUCUAACUGGCGACGCAAUUCAUCCAUCUCCGCCUCUACAGUCGCGACUUGGAUCGCCUCUUCCCUCAAGUUCGCAGAGGAGACGAUGAUCCUUCCGUCCCUCAAUAUUUGUGGCCUGAACAUUCAAUUUUUCACCUCCAACCGCAGAAUCUGGAGGUAUAAAACGUUCAUCACCAGGAUUUCCAUCCAUUACAAUAAUGCCAAUCAAUUUCUUCGAUCAGCACUAUUCACGCGUAAAUUCUUGCAAAAAAAUCUAGAGAGAGAAAAUUUUUUAGAGAGAGAAAUAUUUUUAGAGAGAGAAAAAAUCUGAAAAAUGAAAAAGCGAUAGGGUUUAGGGUUUUAGGGUUUAGGGUUUGGGGUUUGGGGUUUGGGGUUUGGGUUUUUUGGGUUUGGGGUUUAGGGUUUAGGGUUUUGGUUUGGGGUUUGGGGUUUGGGGUUUUGGUUUUGGGUUUGGGGUUUGGGUUUGGGGUUUGGGGUUUGGGGUUUAGGGUUUGGGGUUUGGGNNNNNNNNNNNNNNNNNNNNNNNNNNNNNNNNNNNNNNNNNNNNNNNNNNNNNNNNNNNNNNNNNNNNNNNNNNNNNNNNNNNNNNNNNNNNNNNNNNNNCGUUUGUUGCUACUUUCUGGACCAAGGAGGUUGAUAAUAACAAAAGAAUUAUCAACAUUGAUUCAGUAUGCACUAUGUAAUGGUCUAGUGUCGAUUUGUUGGAAGUAACAACUAAGCCAUACAUCGAUUAUGAUACUUAAUAUGAGGUAAAAAUAAGGUUUAGUAAAGCAUACACACGUAGCCGGACCAAGGUGCGGAGUGAAAUUUCCUAGUUUCCGGAUCAGGAAUAAGGGAUACAUAACUUGCCACUUUGCAUGGAAGAUACUAGGAAAGGAUUGUUAUAGCUAGAAUUACUGUUUUAUGAACCUGUGGGGAACACUUAUUCCCUAGUUACUCUCAUCACUUAAUAAGUAUCAAAUAUUCAUAGUUUCUACUUGUUAACUUAAAAAUAUUUAAUUCCUUGUGUUAUUUAAAAUCCCCUUUAUUACCAUUUUUCGAAAAGGACUUGAUUAAAUAUAAGUUAUUGUAGGUUAAAGUUAAGUAUAAAUCAUUUUCCUUGUGGAAUCGACCCCAAACUUGGAGUUGGGUCUUAACAUGAUACGACCUCUUAUACUUCUUUUUGAUAAGAAAAUUUUAGCCUAUCAAACGAAUCCCCUCCGAACACCUUAGAGGUCCUUGAAGAGGAUCCAGACCUUGGCAAGAAGCUUCCUAAAAGUUUCAAAACUAUGCCUCACGAACGACGCCCCUUAGAUAGAAUGACGCCCUAUUGAUUGAGGGUGUGACUCCAUACAUAGUUGUAUAAAAUUAAACCCAAAAACUGGGGUCUUUAACAAAAUAGAUACCCAUCAUGACAACCCAUCAAUCAAACUAAACCUAGCAGUUUUGUGGUCGUCGUUUGACCUGCAAUUUUCCUACAUGUCUCGACCAAGGUGAGGGUAAUUUGGGAAAUUUACCCCACGCCCUAAUUAAGUAUGAGAUGGUUAUUUUAGGUGUUUUUAGGUAUUUUAAGUAAGUUUAUAUACCUAAUACCUAAUUAGGCCUUACUUUUACAAAUCAAAACCCCACGAUCAAAUAAGUUCUCUCUAGGCUCGAUUGAAGCUAGAACUCAAGGUGAAGAUAGGAUUGAAGUGCUCCACUAAUUUCUCCAUAGAUUUCAUUGGAUUUGUUCAAUUAAGGUAUGGUGAUCUCAUCAUUGAUUCUUCUCUUAUUCAAGGAGCCAUUUCCAAAGGCUUUUUAAAGAUCUUCAAAAAUAUUAAAAUUCUUUUUUGAAUUCUAAGCAUGAGUUCUUGCACGAAAAGGUGUAGAUGGUUGCUCUAUGAAUUGAUAAAUGUUAAUUUAUGGUUUUAGGAUCAAAAACUACAUAAAACAUGGAUUCCUUGAAUUACUAAUUUUAUAUCUAAUGUUGGUGAAUUGUUCAUGGCUUAAUUGUAUUGAAUUCAUGUGUAGAUUGUAUUGGGAUAUUGAAUUAUGUAUUGGUCAAUUUUAGAAUUGUUCGUAGCUUGCCUUAUAAUGUUUUUAUCUAUAUUGAGUAUUAAUGGGUAAUUAAUAUGGAUGGGUCAUUGAUAUGGAUGACUUGUUGGCUUAGUCUAGAGUAUAUUUGUUAUUGUAAAGAUAUCUUGUUAUAUGAUUUGUUGGAAACGAUAAGGAAUGGUGAUUAUGUCUAUUGGAAGGUGGUUAGUUAACCUAACUCCUUUACUUUCUAUAGAAUUCAUAUUGAAUUUUUAUUGAUUGUUUUGGUCCACUUAUGGUGGUGUUGUUCAAUUUUAAUAAUUGUUUUGAACAUGGCCUUGUCGGUAAAAUUAGGUAAAUCAUGGUAUCAUCAUAAUAUAGUUUAUGUGAAGCAAAAAGUGAAAGUGCUCAUGUAUUGUCUAUAUGAUCUUAUAUGGGUACUAUAAUGGUAUGUUUCAAUAUACGUCCUCUCUAGUUGUUGAUAUAUGAUGAUUAAGGACUAGGAAGAGCCUUUGUAGAAUAAUGUUUUGUCUUGAUUGGUAGAUUUAGGUCCCUCUUCUUAUACAUUAAAGUUGUGUGAAUUUGAUAUCUUUAAUUGGUAGGAUUAGGCAUCUUUUUCAUAUAUCUGUAUGUAUGAAUUAAAGAAUUGAAGUCUAGGAUCGGUAGAUGUAUAUUAGGUGCCCUUCUAUGACAGACUUAUAUGGAACCUUGAAUAUGAAUAGAUAGUUAAGAAUGAGCUAUCCUUGGAAAUAGUAUUAUGAGUUGGUCAAACUAGUAAUGGUACCUUUUAUAAUAAACCUAUGCAAUGAUAUACUCUAAGAGAAACAAGGCAAAAAACUGAGAGGAUAUGCUUAUGGUAGUAGUUCUUCUUUAGA
RNAcentral lists this long non-coding RNA (55429 nucleotides) under Solanum lycopersicum (tomato). RNAcentral describes it as "long non-coding RNA (SLYC_LNC000644)". The stretch from base 9260 to 9333 matches the Rfam family "tRNA". Lineage: Eukaryota; Viridiplantae; Streptophyta; Magnoliopsida; Solanales; Solanaceae. The record is from RNAcentral.